This 53312-nucleotide long non-coding RNA is filed under the name Malus domestica (apple). RNAcentral's name for it is "long non-coding RNA (MDOM_LNC011489)". The record is from RNAcentral. Lineage: Eukaryota; Viridiplantae; Streptophyta; Magnoliopsida; Rosales; Rosaceae.
UUCAAAACAGAGCUUGCGUUUAUCUGCUUCUUUGUCAUCAAUUCAAUCAAACUUUCCGUCGGGAAAUUUUCCGUCUCCAAUUCCAAAAAUGUCGUCGUGCUGCGGUGGUAAAUGUGGUUGCGGGUCCGGCUGCAGCUGCGGCAGUGGCUGCAACGGGUAAUCUUUCUACCUCUCUGUUUGUUUUCCGAGAAUCUGGAAAAAAGAAAAUCCCAGAAAAUUUCUGCUCUGAUUUGGGUUUUUGACUACAUGGGUUUUUGUUCAGGUGUGGGAUGGCUCCUGAUCUGAGCUACAUGGAGGGGUCCACCACUGAGACCCUCGUGAUGGGAGUUGCUCCCCAGAAGUCGUACGUAUUCUCAUCUCUCAGAAAUGAGAUCCCAAAUUAUUUUUGAAAUAUGUAAUUUGCAGAUUUUGUGGUUAUAAUUUUGGGAGACACGGAGAAACAGAAGUAGAUGGACACCAAACCGACAAUAAAAGUUUUAAAACGACAAUAAAAGGGAAAAGGACUCCGAUCCCUUCCUCCAAUUCAAAUCAGGAAAUUUAUGAUGUUGAAAUUUUUUUCUUUACUAAUUAAUGAAAUCUUUUUGUCAAUCAAAAAAUGAAAGAUAAAUUAGUUUUUUGUUACAAAAAUAUGAUGGGUAAUAAUGUAAUUUUAAAGGUUUAAAUUUUAUUAUUUUUAUUGAAAUAUUACUUGCCGAUGAUAUUAAAAUACCUUUAAUAUUAUAUAAAAAAAUAACCAAAAAAUACCUUCCCAACUCUCCCAGUUCUCUCUCUCUCCUAUUUUUUUUUAAAUGUGUUCAUACAUAUAAAUUGCAAGUAAAUAUUAGUAAUUUUUAAAGUGAGUUUCUGUUUGUAAUCGUUGAAUCUGUAAGGAUUUUCUGAUUUGAUGAUUAGGAGAAAGGGAUAUGCGGAGUGGAUUUAUUCCCAGUAAAAGGAAACAAAAUCAUGAUUUAUGUACGGUUUAUUGUCUGUUUAACAUAAGUUAAAUUUGUCUUUGUUUUGUUUUUAUUGAAACCGCGAUCGGUAUGAUUUAGGGAAGCAUGGAGAGAGAAAGCAUCAUUUAUACACUGACUUAUUGUCUGUUUCGGAGCGCUGUAACAUUUGUUUUGUAAUUUUGAUGUGCAGUCACAUGGAGGCAUCUGAGAUGGGAGUUGCUGCCGAGAACGGAUGCAAGUGUGGAGACAACUGCACCUGCAACCCCUGCAACUGCAAGUGAGAGGGACAGAUGGCACCUUCUGAUGAAGCAAGAGAAUCGCGGGGCUUAUAUGUUUAGCAGUAAUAUAUGUAUGUGUGUGUGUCGUAAUCAUGAAUCAUGAUCCAAAUUUACGAAGGUCGUGUUUUUAGAAUAAAGUGGCCAUGGCUUCUUCUGAGCUGCACGUCCUACUAGGCUGGGAUCUGGUCCUAGGUUAUGGCUGCUUGUUGUCUGUUUGCUUUGUACAUGCAGUAGUCGUAUUUGUGUUUUUAUGUUCGUGUUAACUUGGUGGAUCGUAUUAUGUGUUUCUGAUGAAAUUAAUGAAAAACUUGCUCCAUCUUUUGCUUUAAUUUUUGGGUUAAUUGACAAGGAAAACGAGUGCAAUAAGUUCCAACAACAAAAGUUUCUAAGAUGUUCUGGGGAAAUUUGGAGUACAACAUAUUUCGAUGUUUUAACCUUUUAAGAAUUUGUCAAACAUCCAACGAUUAUCGGAGAAUUUGUGUAGAAAGUCGUAUAUAUGGAGGAGAAAAACACACAAGAAGAAUUAGAUUAGAUCUGUUACUAAUCCAAACAUUUUUAAAAAGGGAUUUUAACAAAAAAAAAAAAAUGGUAUUAUUUAUUUUAACGAAAAAUUAUAUUUUUAUAAUAAAAAAUUAAUAUUAGUACUAUUUAUUUUAUUUUUUUAUUUCGUAUUUAUCGUUAACUUAAAAUUUUUAAAUUAUUUUUAUUAGUUUUUUUUUUUUUAAAAAUAUUAACCAUCUAUUUGGGAUAAUAAUUUAGCCAUUAAUAAGACUCCAAAAAAAUAAUCAUCAAAGUAUUUGGAGAACCAUCAACCCUAUCCUUUAUUUCGUUCCAUGGUUAAAAAAAAAAAAAAGAACAAAAAAGCAGGAACUAGUGGUAAGCUAUGGUUAUUAACCUUUUUUUGGUCCGAAACCGGGAUUGUAAUUUUGUUAUGUCGGUGGUUACGAUCAAGCAGAUCUAACGGCUCGAAAUAUUUCACAUUUUUUCAAAACUCACCCAUCCAAUAUUUAUUGUAUGGUUGUGGUUCAACCACAUUUUUUUGUUGGAAACUCACCCUCGAUCUAAUAUUUAUUGUAUGGUUGUGGUUCACGUUACGCUUUGGACGGGCGAUGUCUUUAUGCUGGGAGCAGCAGCUUUUGGGCACUCCACAUGUUGGUCGAAAAAGUGUCACCGUGACAUCUCAUGUUAGUGUAACAUCUCGGUGAGGACAGUUUCAAUUGUCGAACGAAAAUAUGACGAAGCAUAAGUGCCUUGCCGUAUCAAUGACUCAGCAAUAAGGCUUUGUAAAUUUCAUUCAGUUCAAGAUUGUAACAACAAAUAGAUGGAAUUCAUUAGAAAUCAUGAAUAAUCUUCGUUGCUAGUUUACAAAUCAACACAAACAGGGUCUUUUCAGUCUUUUACAAUGACACGUCCAUAAGGUUUUACUUGGGCGAGAAAUUUCCGUAGAGCUGCCUUCUCACACGGGGUUUGACCAACUUGAGGUUGGAUAGAUUAAAAACUAAAAUACAGGAGGUUUUAGAGUUGGAGUUGACGUGGUCAGACACCCCUAUCCAAAUUUCACAUUUGCUUGACCUGUGAAAUAUCUGAGCAGCUGAGUGUUGCCUUUAUUUCCUUAUCAAGUACCCCUAUCGCUGCUUUGUUAAACAGGUUGACAAUCUGUUAAAAGAAAUUAAUUAGAGCAGAUUAGUAAUCAUUCAUCAUUCAACGGGGAAGGUUGUGGUGAAACUGUCUUCUGGGAUCACCUGCUUAGUUGAGAGGCCUAUUUUCUCCAAAUCGUUCAGCUGAAACAUGCAACGUUCAACAUCACAGUUACUCAAAAACUUAGUUCCAAUUUCGCUGUACCGUUCCAAUUUUAUCGGAUAGUCCAUGAAAAAACAAAUGUAAUUCAAGUUUCAUCUGUUCCUAAACCUUAAUAAACUUGCUUACCGAUUUUAAAGGGCUCGUUUCUCUGAGCUCGAGUAUGUAUUCAGCCAUUUUGACUCCUAUUCCCUGAUUGAUGAACGCGAGGGAAAAAGAAAGUAUCAGAAGGCAAGUAAUUAUUUUAAGAACACACAAAGAUGCAGCAUUUGAUAGGAACCUUUAGCUCCAGCAGCUCUUCCCUGCGGUUGAGAAAACCAGUCGAAAUAUUAGGUUCAUUUGGUAUGAUUGAGUGAAAAAUGCAAGAAACGAAAAAACGAAGAAGCUUCAAAGAGAUGAUAAGAUUUUUACCUGUUGGCUGUGUUCAAGAAGUCAAUAUAAUCUUGAAGUAGGAACUUCUGUGCAAUAAGCGAAAGAAAAACAGAUGAAAAUCACAUUAAAAAGCUAGAACUUAACUAAUAGAGUUGUACGUAAUGAUUGUACCUUCAAGUUUGAUCCGCAAGCAGUGAAUUUAUCAAGUGGGGUGCCUGUCCUUUGGAACAUGUUUUUCGUGCAGGUCGCUAAAGAGGGAGUUUUCGGAGUCUUUGGAUCAAAGAGUAGGGUGCAAUCUCCAUUUGUGAAUAAGGGUUCACUGAGGGGAUUUUGAUUUAUAUUGGUGUUGAUCGGGGAGAGAGCUUUUCUCAAGGAACUUUGAGGUGUGUUUUUCUUCCCGCUGACGGGUGAUGAGUCGUUUGCAAAGUUUUCCUCCUGGUUUGGUGGUUCAGCUAUGCAUAUAUACAAGAAAAUAGUGCAUUUAUUCAAUUUGUUUAGAGUGUUUGAAGGAGCAUAUUAAGUAAUAAAACCAUAUAGAGCUGAAACAUACCAGGUAAACUUGUAUUUGAUUUGAGAACGGAUCCACAAGCUCCAGCAUUGCCCACUUGUUUAUUAUCCUUAGCGGCGAAUUGCAGGCUCUGGAAAGCAAUUCCAACUCAUAAAUACACAAUGACAUAAACAUCAAACGCAAGAUAAACUAAUUCGGAAUGAAUUCAGUAGCUUCUCAUCCCCAAGUGGAACUGUUAAACUCAAACUUUCAAAUAAUAUGCCAUCUCAUGAAUAUCCUAAUGUGAUGAAUAAAGUUUCACAAUAGAGUAAGAAUAAGAAUAUAUUGAAUACACUAUAACGUAGUUCUAAUUUUAUCAUUUUCCAUCCAUGUACUCCCUAAAAUUUAGUAAUUACCUCCAAAUUGGAAUCAACUAGACUUUCAUUGUCGAUUAUGUUCCUGAUAGGUCUUUUGAUUGUCCUGCAAAAAAUUUCAACAAUCAAACAAAAGUGACUAAUGCAUAGCAUGAAGGAUAUACAAUUCAACUAGUUACUUGUCAUUGUACCUUUCUUUCACAGAGCAGGCGCUUCUGUUUGUAUUAACCUUGGAUUUCAUAGAACUGAGGUUGAUGCUGGGUUUCUUGACAUUAGCAAUAGAAGAACUUGGAGAUUUCCCCAACAAGGGAGAAUUGAAUGCUUCAAUUCUUCGCACACUCUUUGUCUUUCCUCUUGAUUCAAGCCAAGUACGGAGUUUGGCUUCCAUGUCAACUUUAACCUUCGGGGUCUCUUGCUUGUGAGCUGAAGGAACAAAGUUGGUAAUGUGGCGUGACCGAGCUGCCAAGCUGACAGUAUGAACAGACUCCUGGUACUCUCCUGGAUUCUAUUAUCAAAGAAAAUUGUUUCCAAUAUAAGUUUCAAAGAAAAAAAAAAGAUAAUAAUAAGUACAGGCCAGACGAAAGCACUUCUAUUCAAACGCUAAUUCAAACUUCUUACCAAGCAAGUAAUCAUCAAAGCCUGACUCAUCCCACCUAGUGAGUCUUGCAAAAUACGAGUCAAUUUACUCUCUCUAUAGGGCACUCGGGAUAAGUUGUUGUUCAGUGCAUAAAUGACAUUUGAUAAUGCAAACAAGGACUGGUUAAUCUUCGCACUCUCUUGGAGACGGAUCCCUUCGUUGCAAGUUCUUCUAUUAUCUUCAUUACCUGCUUGAAAUACACAUGUAGAUUAAAUAAAGAAAAGACAAAGAUCAUGUACUUUAUUUAUAGGGAAAAGUUUAGGAGUGAGAAAAGACCUGCUAAAUCUAUGAGAUUCAACUUCCCAGUAACAGCAUCCCCAGAACCAUCAUCAAGAGUUGAAACGGCAAUCACAAGGACACCAUGGCUCCUACUAGACACAUCAUUGAGACCUGUAUGGGCAGUUUUCCGCCUCUGAAUCCCACAAGAAAAGGCCUCAUAAAACUCAAACAUGGACUUUACAGGGACCCGAGACAGCCCCUUAAGAUGAACCUGCCCAUCUUUGUCAUCCAAAACCGUAAUUUCCUUGGCUUUGAUCUCUAACAGGUCAUAACACCUGUCCAUAUAGACCUCGUAGUAUGAUAGCUCAACUGAGCUUCCUGUGCUCUGGCACAUAGACAGGAUUUUGGACAUGGACAGCUCCAUUAGACCCGGCAUCUCAUCCGUGCCCUGGAACAUAAAAUCCCAUGCUGGAUUAACAUUACAGAAGAAAAUGCUUCAGAACAAACACUAAAAGCUGCAUUUAGUUACUUUUAACCUAUGCUAAUUCACAAAUUUCUUUUCUUUCUGGGGAUAAUUACAGAUGAUUAUCCAGAUUAAUGAUUUAUUAAUCAUAAAAUGCCUUCACUAAUGUUUCAUAUGGGUGGUCAGACGUUGGUGUAGCCACAUUGGGUAGAGCGGAUGUGCUCCCCCUCCCCGCAGUUUAGAUUAGUUUAAAAAUUAAAAUGGAACAUCGAUUAUGUAAAAAGAAACGAAAAAAAAAAGUUCAUAUCUUUGGAGAAUUCAAAUUCAAAACUGAAUUUUUGCCAAAAGAAGUAAAAAAAAUUUCAAACCUGUAUAGUGUAAGUCUUUCCACUUCCAGUAGCUCCGUAGGCGAACACCGUCGCAUUGCAGCCAUGAAAGAGUCCCGGAAUCAAGGGGCAAACUUCUCUACUGAAGAUCCGGCCAACAUUGUUAUCCUCCGGGGCAAAGAAGGAGUCUAACCGAUAGCACUCGUUUCGGCUACACCCCGAAAAACAAAAUCAGGAGUCACCAUCAAAACCCAGCUUCCCAAAUCAAGAAAGCCAAAAUUCAUCUCCGAAUUGGCUGACAGAAAAGCAAGAAAAUUACUCACCUUGUCACUUUAUCUUUGAGAUGAACAACCACUUCCUCGGUCGCAAACUCGGAUUCUUUUUCGAUAACGGAAGCGCACGGCGUCGGAUCUCUGUUACCGUCAGCGAUCUCUUGGGGAAGAAAAGGGCGCACCCGAGCGAUCACCCUGACCUUCGAAAUUGAACUGGGGUUCGUAGAUUUUGCUGGAGUUGCAGAAGAACUGUCAAGAGCUCGACCCACCUCCAUUGGAACAAAGGAAAGAGCUUUAGCUUGGAUUUCAAGUGAGAGAGAGAAUUGGGAAUUUGCAGAACGGUCUGUAACUGAAAGAUGGAGAUUAAGAGGAGGUCUGAAACUAUUUGUCGAACGUUGGGGCUUUUUCAGUUUGAAUUUUUGGAUUGGGUGCGGACUGUGCCGUUGGGCCUCGUGUGUGGUGGGGGCCUAUUUCUUACUCCUUCGGAAUGUUUGCUGUUUAGGAUGAGAGAUUUUUUAGUAUAACCGCUAUACGGAUGGGACGUGUUAUUAUACAAAUGAUGAGAUAUAAAUUUUUGUGUUUUGACUGUCGAACGUGGUUUGUACCCAUGUUGAGUCAAGUGACAUCUAAAUGUAGGAAGCCCAUUGUCGAACGUGGUUUGUACCCAUGUUGAGUCAAGUGACAUCUAAAUGUAGGAAGCCCAUUAUUUAUGAGCAAGUAGGACAGUGUAAUUAUACAAAUGAUGAGAUAUAAAUUUUUGUAUUUUGACUGUCGAACGUGGUUUGUACCCAUGUUGAGUCAAGUGACAUCUAAAUGUAGGAAGCCCAUUAUUUAUGAGCAAGUCGGACAGUGUAAUUAUUUCGACUAACACGUACAAGAACUAGUUCUUUUUUUUUUUUUUUGGGAGGGGGUGGGGUUAGCCUUACAAAGGGUUAGUAAAUAGUGUGGUUCAAAUUCGCUUUUAGCGAGAAUUGAACCUAAGACCUUUUAUUUAUAGGUGAAGGUGAAUACCACUAGAUCGUAGUACUAAGUGGCAUCAAUAACUACUUUCUAAACAAUGAUAAAUUCUUCCCCGUUGCUUGUUGAGAUCAAAUGAGGCCCAUAGUAAGUAUGGUCGUAUUGUCUUUGCAUUAGAAGAAAGACUUUUAUGAUAUAAGUAUACACUAUCUUGACAUUUGGUGUCAAUACUAUAAAAACAUGUGUAAAUUUUUAUUUAUAGCAUCGUAUCAUUAACAUAAUUUGUUGAUAGUAUAACUAGGAUUUGGAUUUCGGAUCCAAAUUGUAGGAAUUCUAGAAAUUCUCACAUCUUAAUUGUUUAUCGUACAUCAUGCAGUCAGAAAUUAUUUUGAAUUUAUUUAUUUAAAACUAAACAUAAAUAAUAAUGAACAUUAAAUGCACAAUAUACGAUAAACGAUCAUGAUGUAAGGAUUUCUGAAAACACCACAAAAAAGAUCCGGUGGAUUCUCAUCCGUAUAACCAUGCCAUCAAGUUGCUCUCAUGAAUUUUCGAAGUAAAAAAAGCUGCUCUCAUGAAUUUGGUUUGUAUAUGGGCCCCCACCAUGGACCCACAACUUGUAAGACAAAGCCGCAUAUGACCGGCGGAGGGAAACUCUCUCCCAACCAGGCCCAAAUGGCCCCCUCGUCAGAGUUUCAAUUACCCAAACGUUUGAGGACCUGUCAGCAAGGCGGCGCAAAUAUGUGAAGGGUUUUAGACAAAGACCGUAAUUGUAUAUGCGUUAAACCCUAAACCCCCAAAAUUGUGGGAAAUCACGAAGAUGGAGAAGGGCAUGCUGUCUGCAAACUUGGAGGGUCUUCCCGAAGAAGACAAGCACAGAAUGGCCACCUUGAUCGACCAACUCCAGAUUCGCGACAGGUUUUUCUGAUUUUUUUUUUAAAUGCAGUGUUUUUUUGUAAUUUGUUCUCAGUAAUUUGUGAUUAGUGAGGCAUGUUCUUGAUACGGUGCAUGAUAGAUUGAAGUCUUAGAAAAAUACCCACAAAAUUAAAUGGUUAAUUGUUAGCAGGAAAUUUGAAACUACGAUGUGAUUCCAAUGUAAUCAAGUAUAUGUUUUGAAAUUUUGAAAACCGAACCGAACCGGAUAUAUGUCUUGGGUUUGGCUCAUGGUUUUGAUGAUGAACUGGCCCAAACCGAACUGUGCCCAUCCCUACUGAUUUCGGUUGUGUUUGUCCAAAAAAUGCAGUCUGAGGAUGUAUAAUUCAUUGGUGGAGAGAUGCUUUACCGACUGCGUAGACACCUUUUAUCGCAAAGCGCUGACGAAGCAAGAGGAUACGUGCGUUCGUAGGUGCGCUGAGAAGUUCCUCAAGCACUCGAUGCGCGUUGGCAUGAGGUUUGCAGAGCUUAAUCAAGGAGCGGCUACUCAAGAUUAAGCUAAGCUCUAUGUAUGAAUCAUUUUUUGGUAUGGAAGGUCUUGGAAAUCUUUCGAGUCGGUUUACGGAAGUUGCAAUUUGUUUAGCCUUGAUUCUAGAAUUGUGUUUCUUACACUGAUUAGAUUCGUACAUUUUCAAAAGAAAAAAAAUAUUCAUGGUGAGGUUUUACAGUUAGCUGGAACUGGAUAUGAAUUGGUUAUGAUUUAUGAUUUUGCCCUUUUAUUCGCGUAUCAUAUCUGGUGUGGUAAAUUCGUUGUGUACACGUAGACUGUGAUUGAAAGUUUAGGAGGAACGGCUCCUUGCCUCUGCAGCAUUGCAAGUGUAGAGAUUGAGAUUGUGUAGUUUUGUUCAUUGAUGAAGUCCCGACUGCGAAAAAAUGAAUAUAGGAUUUGGGAUUGAUAGACUUUGAUGCAACCCUUCAUUCUUGGUAUACAGAUCCUUCCAUUCUUCCCCUUAAUUUAGAACUUGACUUCGGUUGGCAGUGAUCUUGAUAGUGAGGCAACCAAGUGAUUUAGAUUAGAUGAGAAGAAAAUUGGUUUGUAAAAUCACCGCCUUCUGAGCCUUUUCCCCUUUCUGCUAAGGAUGAUAAAGAUUACGAUGUGACUGUGAAAGUAUCUCAAGGACUAGAAAAGGAAAACUCGAAGGGAGAUUACCUAACAGUGAAUGAAGAAGUUGCCAGUUGGUCUCCCGGGCAUGGAGGUCCCUGCUUGAACUUGAUGAGCAAUUAGGCAGAAAUGUGAGCAAGCAGAUGCAGGGGAUUGAAUUGAACAUGCUGUGAUGCAGGCAAUUUUUUGCUUCGAUGAUUGUUUUGGAAUGCAGUUUUCUAGUGCUUGUUAUUUGGGAUUCAAUCAUGUAUAUUUUUACGUUGAGUUGUGUUAUUGAAGGAAGGAUGAAGGUUGUUCUUGGUAAAGAUUCCAUGAUGCUUUGUGGGGAAGUUGUUGGAUAUAAAGAUGUCAAAUGCUAGGUUUGAAGUUCUCUUGCUCACUAGUGGUUUUUGGUAUUUUAAAAACUCAUUAAAAACCCAACUGAAUACUUUGUUAAAAAAAAAAAAGAAAAAAAAAAGAAAAAGCUUAGAAAAGCACUUCUAUUUAAAAAGCACAUUUAAAGCCCUUUCAAAUUUUUGUUAAACACUUCUAGUCUUGAAGGCCUCUUUGAUGUCUAGCGUUUAGCUUGUAUAAGGUAAAUCAUCAGAUUGAGUGAAUACCGAAUGAAGAAUUAGAUGUCCACUUGCAUUUUUUUGUCAAAAUGAAGGUAGAAUAUGGAUUAGCUAUGACAAAAACUUAUUCCGACCAAUUCUAUCAUUUUUUGUAGGAAUUAAAGGGAUCAAUUUCAUACCUAAUCCAUCUUCUAUCUUCAUGACCAAAAACCCAAAUAGACUUUCAUUUUUCGAUUCAUAAUCAGUUUGAAAACAAUUUCACUUGAAAUGAAAACGAUUUUUGUACAUUAUUUUCUCCUUCUAAACAUCUAUGUUUAUUAUGUCAUUUGAUUCUUCUUAUUUUAUUCAAUUCAAACGUCAUAAAUAAACAAUGGUGUUUUCGGUUCCAUACUUUCUGUUUUUUUUUUAAAACCGAAGAUAGGAUUAAUUAAAGACGAAUAGGAAUGUUUACAUCGUGGGCUAGAACAUUAAACAGAAACUCCCGCCCAAUACAAUCCCAAACAAAAUCACCACCUUUCUGAAAGGCAAACUUCGCCAUCGAGUGAGCCGCACGGUUGCUCUCCCUAGGCAUAAACGAAAACGUCACAGAACCUCUGUACUAGAAUCUCGAUGUCACCAAGGAUGCAUUCAAUGCUGUAGUCUUGUGUAGAUUCUUUCUUUAGCAUCUGGAUAAUAACUAAAGCAUCAGAUUCAAUUACCACAUUAUUAAAGCCGUUAUCAAUGCAGGCCAACAGAGCGCUCCGGAUAGCACAUGCCUCAGCAGCCGCCGCACUGUGACAAAAGCCAGAUCCCGAUCUUCCAGCAGUUUGAAGCAGACCCGCAAAGUCACGGCCCACCCAUCCCACUCCAGCUCGCAAAGAAGACCUACACCAAGCCGCAUCGGUAUUCAUCUUAAUGGUGCCAAAUUUUGGUUUCUUCCAUUGAGACUGCGGACGAUUCGCCAGCUUGUGGGGUUUUGAGUUCUGUUGACAUUCUCCCUCGAGACUCUGGGACAGAGCCUCACGGUAAUCGGAAAUAUUCUUCCUCCAUAGCGUCAUGACUUCUAGGUGUUGUCUGUGUACACCAUUGAAUACCAAUUCAUUUUUGUUUUUCCAUAGUCUUCAGAUACCGAAAGCAAACUCCUAGAGAAUCUCCUCAUUCUUUUUCGUAUUCUUGAUUCUGGUACAAAUUUUAUCCCAACUUUCCAGGAAGUCGGCUUCAGCCAGCUCUCGGGAGUUUAUAUGUAUAGGGGAACCAAACCAAAAUCGAUGGCUGAAAUCACAAUGGAAGAAUAAGUGAUUUUCCGAUUCAUCAAAAGUGUUACAUAGCCCACAAAUGUUUUCGACUCGCAUUUGGCGUCGUUGAAGAUUGUGACGCAUCGCCAGAGCAUUAUUGCAACACUUCCAGAUGAAGAAUUUAAUUUUGUUGGGAACCUGCAACGUCCAAAUCUUUUUCCAUACCAAGUUGUUCCUGCGGUGCUCACUAGGCGUACCCCGACCUUUCCUACCCAGGGCGCCGUUCUCCAUCAAAUUCAUUGCCACUCCAUACCCAGUUUUAACAGAGUAAUCGCCAUUCACCGUAUAGUGCCAUACUAUUCUGUCAUAACAGCUAGAUUUACUUAGAGCUAUGCUUAAAAUUUGCCUCGCUUCAUCCCAGUUGAAACCAGCCGAGAUAACCUCUUCCUUCCAGGACUUUGAGACCGGUUCAAUUAGAUCUCGUACCAUAAUUUCUUCUAGGCUGUCCUUCAGGUUAGCCAAGAAAGUUGUAGGUGUCGGUAACCACGGAUCAUUUCGAAUAUUUAUGCUUUCCUCAUCUCCUACCCGCCACCUUACAUAAUGUUGAAGUACCAUGCGACCUUCGUAGAUGCCUUUCCAUCCCGACGAUGUGUUCCUCCCUCUUCCAGCAUCCUUGAAAACUUUUCCUGGAAAAUAUUUAUCUCUCAAAACAGUCGCAAGAAGGGAAGUGGGAUUUUGGAUCAACCGCCAGCCAAUCUUUGCAAGGAAAGCAAGGUUAAAGCACUGGAUAUCCUUAAAACCCAAACCACCGGCCUGUUUUUGUUUCAUUAGCCGAUCCCAUGAAAUCCAAUGACAUCCCCUUCUCUGAUCAUUUCCUUUCCACCAGUAGCUUCAGAUUGCUUUCUCCACAUCCCUAUAGACCCCAAUGGGGAGUUUGAAGCAGCUCAUGGCGAAGUUUGGCAGAGCCAUAGCAACUGCCUUUACCAGGACUUCCUUCUCAGCUUGGGAUAGGAAUUGCUCCUACCAACCCGCUAACCUGGCUUCAAUCUUAUCUCGAAUCUCCGCAAAGACAGCUUUUUUGGAGAGUCCAAAAUCAGCCUGCAGUCCAAGAUACUUCCCGAAACCAUCCUUGUAUUGUAUCCCCAGAGUUUCCCCAAUUUUCUUCUUGGUCCUUUUAGAUGUCGAAGUUCCAAAGAAAAUCGAGCUCUUGGACAUAUUAAUCUCCUGCCCAGAUCCGCUAGCAUACACAUUCAGGACAUCUGCCACACCUUGGGCCUCCUCAACCAUAGCAUUCCCAAAGAGGACUGAGUCGCCUGUGAAGAAAAGAUGAGUAAUAGGAGUCCCAUUAGGUGUCAUCUUGUAGCCAUGGAGGGCUCCACGUUCCAGCCCUUUCCUAAUCAAACUGGAGAAACCCUCAGUGCAAAUUAGGAAAAGGAAAGGAGAUAAGGGGUCCCCUUGUCUUAAGCCCCUCUUCGGUUGGAUGUAACCCGUCGGAGAGCCAUUGAUAAGGAUACUAAAUGAUACAGUAGAAAUACAUUCUUUUACCCUAUUGCAGAACAUCGGUGUAAACCCCAAUUUAAUCAUCAUGGAGAGAAGGAAAUCCCAUUCCACACGAUCGUAAGCCUUUGCCAUGUCCAACUUGAUGGCCAUUCCUUUCUGGUUUUCCUUACUUUGAUGGUUCAGGGAGUGGAGGAUCUCGUGUACCACCAGAAUAUUGUCAUGUAUUUACUUCCCAGCAACAAAGGCAGAUUGAUUUUCGCCAAUCACCUUCGGCAUUAUCUUUUUGAGUCUGUUAGUCAUCACCUUAGCCAAGAUCUUGUAGCUAACGUUACAGAGGGCAAUAGGUCUGAAUUGCGUCAUGUUCUUUGGACAUUUCACCUUAGGUAUAAGGACUAAAUUUGUGUGAUUUAGUUUCCUCAGAAGGGUUCCUGAGUGCCAAAAUGCUUUGAUGGUCUUCACCACAUCCUUUCCCACUGUCGUCCAGUGAUCUUUAUAGAAGCAUCCAGAGAAUCCGUCAGGCCCCGGGGCUCUUGCGGAUGGAAUUUGAAAAGCAACCUCCUUAAUUUCUUCAUCAGUGAUAGGUGCCACUAGGUCGCGGUUAUCCUCCGGUGUCACCCUAGUCUCCAUGCAGUCUUCUACUUCCUUACUUUGGCUGGGCCUGCAUGACUGAAAUAAACCAGUAAAAUAAGAGUUAGCAAUAUCACAUAUAUCUUUGACUCUCAUGUCACUUUCCGUUGGAGUUCUCUAGACCCUUUAUCUGAUUGUAUCUUCUUCUUUUCAACGUUUGAGCAUGAAAUUUUUUUGUGUUUUUGUCUCCCUCUCGUAGCCAUUGAACUCUGGAUUUGGCUUCCCAGUAGGCUUCUUCGUUUCUGUGGGCAAACCGAAGAUCUCUCUCUUUUAGUUUAACCUCCUCAGAGGCAAAUUGGUUAGACAUGUAAGCCCUCCUGAUCUCUUCUUUCAGUUUGUCAAUGGCUUUUUUUGAAUUUCUACCCCUGCCUUUAUACCACACCUUAAGGCUCUUCCUGAGCUUUUUCAGUUUUUCGCAAAACCAGAAAGCAUGAGAUCCACCAAGCUUGCCUUCCCAUUCAUUUGCCACAAGCUCACGGCAUUCCUCCAGUUUACUCCAGCGGGCAUCAUAAGAGAAUUUUCUUCCUCUCCACGCUUUAAGCUUCUAAUGGAAAGAAAAAGCAUGGCAUGAUCAGAUCCUUCAAGCACCAUAUGUCUUAUUGUAGUGUCCGGGUAUAUGUUGUUCCAGCCCAUCGUUGCUAGCUCCCGAUCAAGCCUUUGUUGGAUAGGUAAGGACUCUCUAUUGUUUCUCCACGUGAAAGGAUAUCCUAGGUCCAUGAGUUCAUUCCUGGCCACGAACUCCCUGAAAUCUCUCAUACUGGAAGCCGGUCUGUAAUUUCCUCAUUCCUUUUCUUCAUUGCAUAGGACGUCGUUAAAAUCUCUCAUACUUUUUGCUUUGAAUACAAGUGAUAUUUUAUACUAAUCUCAAUAAGAGAAGGGGAAACGAAAAGUGCUUGAAUUCAGAAAAUAGCUUAUUUGAGAGACUAGACGAUCCAACAAAACAUAUAUACACCUUUCCAAACAUGUUUGAUUGCUUCAAGUUUCAUCAAUUUUUACGAAUUUGAAUUGGAGCAAUCUGACAUGGUCAGAAAAUUACAAUAGGAAUUAAGGUGAAAUUAGAACAUAAAGGAGAGAGAAAAAAAAACAACUUGCACUAAAUAAUUGGUCACGUUGAGGGUUUUCCCGCCAACCAACGGUCCAGAUUCACGAGAAUAAUACAACCUAACACAAAGAGAGAAAAAAACAUCAUCAGGCACCGUUCAUUCACCCAUUGAUCUGACGUUCCAGCCAACAUUUAGUACCCUAACCCGCCAUUUAAUAAUUAAAACGUUCUUUUCCAAACAAAACCCACUUAAACGACGACCCAUUUAUUCCCCAAUCCAACGGUCCAUAACUCCCCGCGCAAUCAAACCGCUCAUCCAACCGCUCCAAACCUGUUCGACAUUUAACAAAGGGGCUCAGAGUGCCGUUUGAGGUUCAAACUUUUGGCUAACGUUCCCAGCACGCCGUCACCCGCAGUUAACUGACAGGGUUUUCUAUACCUCGCAAAAACUCAUACCUCUUUCGGUAACGGUAAUUAACGGAGACGUCGGUGCAUAUAUAUUCGUUAUAAAAUUUUCUAAACAUUUUUUUAAAGUAUUUAAAUAUUAUUUCCCCCAGGUUCUAACCUCUGUUCUCUCUCUCAUCGUUUCAACGGGCGAGGAUUUUUCGAAACCAAAAAGCUCUCCUCUUUCUUUCAUGUUUCAGAGAAGAAGGGUUCUGAAAUUCUAUUGGGUUUAAUCGAUGAGCUCGAUUUCGAUUCCCGCCACUUCUUCGCAAGCAGAGGUAACUCUUACCUUUUCAGAAAAAUCGUUUUUAUGUUUUUGAAAACUCUUGUCCUUGUUUUUGUUUUUUUGCUUUUCAAUUAUUUUCCACUGGGUUCGAUCAAGUUUUUACGAUUUAUUAGACUUCAAGUUGCUUGGAUUCGUAUUGGGGUUUUUGGGUUUUCAAUAAAAGCCCUAGAAGAAUUGUGUUUAAUUUGCAGUUUUUUUUUUAUCUGAAAACGAGUUUUUAAGAUCUGGGUCUUCCUUGUCUGGGUCUAUGGCGGUACGGUUUUGGAGAUUUUGGAGUAAAGUUCGGGGGUGUUAGGUGUUUUCGAUUUGGUUUAGGGUUUUCUCUUAGAGGGUUAUGUUUUGUAUUUGUGUGUUUGUGUAUCUAUUUAUUGAUUGGGAUAUUGGAUUUUCGAGAUUAUUUUUAGGAGGAGAUGGCUGGGGCAAAAUUAGAGGAGUGUUGCCUUGAGAAUAAGCAAUCCAUGGCUACAUCGAGCUCGUCUGUAUCCGAAGGCAGUGGCAGUGCUAUUAUCAAGUCCCCAGGGGCUUGCAGCCCAGCAUCUGCUUCUCCUACUCAACGGUACUUUUCCUCAAUCCUUAAUAGCUGUGAUUUAGUUACAACUAUAUUGACGGUCUCUAUUUGAAAACCAUUCAAUUACAAAUUUGGUGUUCAUCUUUAGUUCCAUGCAUCUGCUUUUAGAAAUUAUAUGGUUUUCAAUGGAUUUUUGUAUCCUUACCAGCUGGAAAAUCGAUCUGCUAACUUAAUUUUCCUUUUGACCAUUAUGCAUAACUUAUAAUUGUCAUCGAAAGUUUUGUGGCCACUGAACUGAAAUGUGUUUUUUCACCUUUCAGGAGAACUAGUGGUCCUAUUAGGCGAGCCAAAGGCGGUUGGACUCCACAAGAGGUCAGCAUUUCAUUUUGUACUUAUGUUCACUUGUUUGUAUUGUCAGCUAGAAGCAUGUACGUUUUCGUGUUUGUUACUGGAGGGAGAGGUUCAUUAGUCAGUCAUCAAAACAUCUAUCUUGAAAUUCUUGAAUCUGUCAUUGCUUUUAGACUAACUGGUUGUAUUACUUUUGUUAUCAGCACCCAUUUUCAUAUGUUGUGUUGCUGCUAUGAUCCGCAGAAAACAAAUGAAACUGGCAAUUAGAUCAAAAUAAAUUAUUGUUUUGACUAAACAGUUACAGUUAUGGAUUAGCAUGCUGAUCCUGUUUAUUUAGUCACAAUUCUUUUCAUUGCAUGAGUCUAACUUUUAAUAAAUGUUGGAUGACCACAGGACGAGACAUUAAGGAAUGCCGUUGCUGCUUUCAAGGGGAAGAGUUGGAAGAAAAUAGGUACAUCUGUCGCCUGAGUAUUGUUUCUGAUUUAUGUUGUUGGUUUCCAAGGCAGUUUUAGAAUGCAUCUUUUGGGUGGAUUUUGUGUAGUUACAUCUUUCCGUAGCUAUAGUGUUUUUAGGUAGCAGUGAGUCUGCUCAGGCAAUGUGUUCGCCUAAUCUUUUUAGUAAUAGAGAUCUUGAUAAAUUAAAAUAAAUCUAAUUUUGGUCGAAUGAUAAGCAUAUAGUCAGAGCUCUGAAAGUUCAAAGCAAACCCAUGAUAGAUGUCCCAAGAGUGUGAAACGUGACUGUUCAUUUAAUUGCCUGAUUUUCUAUUUACCUAUGUUGUGAAUUUUCUGUUGUACCUAAUAUUCAGGAAACCAAUCUAAAAUUUGAAUUUGAACAAUGUGUAUGCAGCUGAAUUUUUUCCUGAUAGAUCGGAAGUGCAGUGUCUGCAUAGAUGGCAGAAGGUUCUUAAUCCAGAACUUGUUAAAGGACCAUGGACUCAAGAGGUUGGAACCUGAUACCAUACUUGUAUUUCUUAAUAUGUUCUUGCAGUUUUGAUUCAAAAUUUCAACUUUCUCUAAAAUGUUUUGGUUUGUAGGAGGAUGAUAAAAUAAUUGAACUGGUAGCAAAGUAUGGACCUACUAAAUGGUCAUUGAUAGCAAAGUCUUUGCCUGGUCGGAUAGGAAAACAAUGCCGAGAGAGGUAAUCUUCAUAAGUUUUGAAUUAUCAUGAUGCUUUUAUCUGAUACCAUCGACCUAUAGUUACUAAUAAGUUCUUAUGUUAUUGUCAUAUGUGAUCCUGGAAAUUUUGACCACUAUUGUACUUACCUGAUUGAUCACAAGUGCCUAAAAGUGCUAUUUUGCUCUGGAAUUAACAUUUAUGCCAUUUGUUGCUUAAAUAGUUUUGUAUGAUGCUGUAUACAUUUUAAUGUUAUUUUUUCCGUAGGCUUGUAUCUUCCAAUUGAUUUGUUCGCGAAAAACAAUCAAAUGGUUUGGGUAGUCACUGCUUUUAUAAACAAUGAACCAUUUUUUCUCUUCAGGUGGCACAAUCAUUUGAAUCCUGAUAUAAAGAAGGAGGCUUGGACGUUGGAAGAGGAAUUAGCUCUUAUGAAGGCCCACCAGAUGCAUGGGAACAAGUGGGCCGAAAUAGCGAAGGUUUUACCUGGAAGGUAUGUUUCUUGUUUGAUUUGUCGUUUACGAAUGACAUUGAGGUGCUAAUUAGAGCAGCAACAUAUAGAUAUAUCAAAUUUCUAGGAUCACUGCUAAAUUGUGACAUCAAAAACUUCUGAAUUGUGGUCUUAUACCCAACUUUCGGUUAAAACUUUAUGAAGGAAACUCCCAAUUUCAAUGAGUAGUGCUAAUGCUGCCGUCUGGAAACCACUGUUACCUUAAAAAUUAAUCUUUUAAAUUGGAAACCACUGUUACCAAGUUCUUUAUUUUUGUUGUAUAUAACUUGGAAACCAUUGUUUACUAAGCCAAAUGUUGUAUGUAACUUAACGAUGUGUUUGCAGGACUGAUAAUGCAAUAAAGAAUCAUUGGAAUAGUUCCUUGAAGAAAAAACUUGACUUCUAUUUGGCUACUGGGAAACUUCCACCACCUCCGAAGUAUGGUGCCAAAGAGCCAAGAUCCAAUGCGACUAAAAAAAUACUUGUUCGUUCAACUAAAGGAUCAGAUUCAACUGCUCAGACAUCAUCUGGAAAUGCAGAAAUGUCUAAGCUAGAUGAAGAUGGAAAGGAUCAGUUCGAGUCCGCCGCUCCACCUCAGGAUAUGGGUGCUUCAUCAAGUGUUCACCCAAAUGAAUGUGCAGAUUCUGAAGGUGUAGAAUGUGACCUGAGAUUAUCUUUUAUGGAUCUUAGUUGCUCUAACUCAGACUCAGGGCCAAAGUUUGAUAAUUUUGGAGUAAAAAGAAAGCCUCAGAUUGAGAAUUCUGUCAGUAAUGGCCGGGCAGAGUCUGAGAAUUGUGGAUUUAGCAACCAAAUGGACGAAGACAGUGUUAAGACAACAUCUUUUCCGUUUGAAACUCCAAGAUAUGGUUCCUUGUACUAUGAGCCACCACCGCUAGAAAGCUCUGUCCAAUUCAAUUCAGGUUUUUCAAGCAUGCAUCGCUUGCAGAAUGAUUACACCUCUAGUCCAAAUUUAUCACCUAUAAGUUUCUUCACUCCUCCUUGUGUGAAGGGCAGUGGUUUAUGUAAUCAAAGUCCUGAAUCAAUUUUGAAAAUAGCUGCUAAGACCUUCCCCAAUACUCCUUCCAUUUUGCGAAAGAGAAAGACCAUUGGCCAAGGACAAUUGCCUUGUAAUAAAGUUGCAGUAGUGGAUUGUGAAUCAGUCAGGGAAAUGCUUAAUGUUUCUAGUGAACACAAAAACAGUGCGGAAGUUUCUGGAUCUCAAGAUGGAAGUUUAUGUGAGAGUCCAACUAGUAAUGGUAUCAGUACCAUUGGGCCUAAUGGUAAGGCGUUUAACGCAUCUCCACCAUACCGGUUAAGAGCCAGGAGGACUGCCGUUUUCAAGUCUGUGGAGAAACAGCUUGAGUUUACAUGUGAUGAAGAGUAUGAUGCUAAUUCUAUGUCCGUGGAAUUAUCUGCAAAUGGCGGCUCUGCUGUUAUCAAAGACUGUACACAUCCAACAAAGAUGGCUGUGACCUAGGGCAUGCACUGUAAGGUACACUUUUCUUAUCAUUGUUCUUGAACUUAUUUGUCUCUGAUCUAGUUUCUUAAAAUGCUAUCAUCAAAUAAAAUUUUAUGACCUUUGGUGUCGUCCUUUUUUAAUUAGUAUGUAUUGUUCGCACUUGGUAAACUGUUCUUCUAUUUUAGACGUCUCUGAUGCAAGAUCGCUAUAUGACAUAGAAUUGCUUAGUCAAGGAGUGAAUUAUGAUUGUAGAUUAUCUGGUCGUUCGAUUUUAUCCUGCCAUUAUAUUUGGAAUUACAUACCUUAUGAGAUAAAGGACAAGCUUGCAGAAGUAACUGAUAGAUUUUUGGUUUUCAGAGCAAGGAAUCAAAGUUGUCAUUCUUUCAUUCAGGAUUUUUAAGAGUUAGAUCUAUUUCCUCAUUCAUUUCGUUGUGUAGCCUUUGUUGCAAAAGUUAGAAAAGAGCGAAGCAAUCUUUUCCACUUUCUUACAGUAAAUUCAAAAUGAAAAAAAAAAAGAUUUGUGAAGUCCAUUAAAACAUUGGUGGUAUCGAAUCAGUUAAUCCGACAUCCAGAAUCCGAAGUGAUACAAUUUCAACUUUCGUUUCCAUGAAGCAGUUUUUAUUUUCUCACCGGCAGCUGUAAAUCUCUUUUCUUCUUUCUUCAUUUCUGACUUGGUUUCCUCUGGUUUAAUUCAGGGACAAAAGAGAGGGCGAUUCUUUUUGACGUUGGCUGACACUGUUGAACUGGUGAUAUUUCCAAGUCCACAGAGCUUUUGAACAGAGUGAUACUUCGAUUUACCGGACCAUUCUCUGGUCUCACAUCUUCAAUGCCUUACAAGUCAUUAACUUGCAAAUACACCACUUGUUAUUAGUUACGUGCGAGCGGUUUUUCGGCACGCCAACUUGACAAAAUACAGUGGCUGGGGCUUCUGUUAUGUGUAGAAUAAAAAUGAUAGGCCCCAAAUACUUGUGAAAAUAUAUUUUGGUUGUAUCAGGAUUUGUACAGAAAACCCCUCAUCAAAGGAGCCAUGAUGCUUCAUCCUUGAAGUUGAGGGAUUUCUCAAUGAAAGCUUAGCUCCUGUCAUUCUUUAUCAAUGUUUACAGUUACAACUCAACUUAAUUUCCCAUGGAGACACAUGUAUGCUUAGAAAUCAUUUUUAUUAAGUGGUCCUGGAAAUCUUAGGGUUACUCUUUAUUGCGCCAAUUAUUUUUUAUUUAGGGUUUGUUUGAUAUCCCUUCUAUUUUUUUGUUGUUGGAUCAUCUUCAAUAUUUAGAGGUCGCACUUGGUGCGAUGGCAAGUGCCUUCGCCCAUGAGCGGUAGGUCUCGGGUUCGAGACUUGGGAGCAACCUCUUCAUAAAUGGGGGUAAGGCUAGCCGACAUUCACCUCUCCCAGACCCUACGUAAAGCGGGAGCCUUGUGCACUGGGUACGACUUGGAUCAUCUUCAAUAUUUGGGGGGUUAAAACCUAGAAGCUAAAGCUAGGGCGUCACCCGUAAGUGGCGCGCUGUGUGGCCCGAGCACAGUGAUAAAUGAGCAAGGGUCGCUGUAUCUCCAUCGGCACCCGGAUGCAGUGUUAAAUGAGCAAGGGGGCCAUAGAAACUUCUUUUCGAACGACUCCACUCAAAGUUGUUUGGGAGCAUAUGCUCCUAUCAACUUUACACGGGACACACAAAAGAAGUACUUUGAUCCUAUUAGACGGGGGAGGGUGAAGAAGCUAGGACAGAAGGGUAGAGUUCAAGAGAGCAAAAUGCGUUUAGGAACGUGGAAUAUAGGAACCUUAACGGGAAAAUCUAUGGAAGUAGUGGAAGUUAUGGUGAGGAGAAGGAUAAAUAUUAUGUGCCUACAAGAAACUAAGUGGGUUGGUAGUAAGGCAAAGGAUCUAGAAAACUCAGGGUUUAAACUUUGGCAUUCGGGCACAAAUAGAACGAGAAACGGUGUUGGCAUCAUCGUGGACAAGACCUUGACACAAGAUGUUGUAGAUGUCAAGAGGGUAGGAGAUAGAAUCAUAGGCAAUCAAGAUUGUAAUAGGACAAGAACUUAUCAAUGUGAUUAGUGCGUACGCACCUCAAGUAGGGUUGGAUAAGAGUUCGAAGGAGAAAUUUUGGGAAGACCUUGGAGACUUGGUGCAAGGAAUUGCUCAGACGGAGAAGUUAUUUAUAGGAGGAGAUUUAAAUGGACACGUGGGCAGGGAGACAGGCAACUAUGGAGGUUUCCAUGGUGGCCAUGGUUUUUGGGGAGAGAAACGAGGAUGGGGAAGCUAUCUUGGAUUUUGCAAUGGCAUAUGAUCUCUUCUUAGCCAACACCUUCUUUAAGAAGAGAGAAGAACAUGUGAUCACCUACAAGAGUGGGUCGUCAAAAACACAAAUAGAUUUUCUUCUAAUGAGGAAAGGGGAUCGUAUAACUUGUAAGGAUUGCAAAGUUAUACCAGGAGAGAGCGUGGCUAAUCAACAUCGCUUGUUGGUGAUGGAUGUACAUAUCAAAAGAGUGAGACAAAAAGAACAAGACUUGGAAGUGCCCAAGGACUAGAUGGUGGAAUCUAAAAGAAGAAAAACAAGUCAUUUUCAAAGAGAAAGUAAUCACCCAGUGUGUGUGGGAUAGAGAGAGGGGAAGCUAGCCAAAUGUGGGAUUCCAUGGCUAGUUGUAUUCCGAAAAGUAGCAAAAGAGGUAUUAGGAGAGUCCAAAGGGCUUUGCCCCACACCAAAAGGAAUCUUGGUGGUGGAAUGAGGAGGUACAAACAAAGGUGAAGGCUAAGAAGGAAUGUUGUAAAGCCUUAUACAAGGAUAGGACCGAUGAAAAUGGUGAAAGGUAUAGAAAAGCGAAGCAAGAGGCGAAGAAAGCUGUGAGAGAAGCUAAGUUAGCGGCUUAUGACGAUAUGUAUAAGCGACUAGAUACCAAAGAAGGAGAGUUGGAUAUCUAUAAACUAGCUAGAGCAAGGGAAAAGAAGACAAGGACCUAAACCAAGUGAGGUGCAUCAAGGAUGAGGAUGGAAAGGUUCUUGCUACAGAGAACGCGGUUAAAGACAGAUGGAAAGGUUAUUUUCAUAAUCUUUUCAAUGAAGGACAUGAAAGGAGUGCUUCUUUAGGGGAGUUGAGUAACUCAGAAGAGUGUAGAAACUACUCUUUUUAUCGUAGAAUCCGGAAGGAAGAAGUGGUUGUAGCUUUGAAGAAGAUGAAGCAUAGAAAAGCAGUAGGCCCAGACGAUAUACCAAUCGAAGUGUGGAAAGUUUUGGGAGAGACAGGUAUAACAUGGCUCACUGACCUUUUCAAUAGGAUUUUGAAAACGAAGAAGAUGCCAAAUGAGUGGCGAACGAGCACUUUGGUGCCUAUCUACAAGAAUAAGGGCGACGUACAAAAUUGCAUGAACUAUAGGGGUAUUAAGCUAAUGAGUCAUACAAUGAAGCUCUGGGAGAGAGUCAUUGAGCAUAGAUUGAGGCAAGAGACACGGGUUUCGGACAACCAAUUCGGGUUCAUGCCAGGGCGCUCAACCAUGGAGGCAAUCUAUCUCUUACGAAGAUUGAUGGAAAGAUAUAGAGAUGGGAAAAAGGAUUUACACAUGGUCUUUAUAGAUUUGGAAAAAGCGUAUGAUAGGGUCCCAAGAGACAUUCUUUGGAGGAUUUUAGAGAAGAAAGGAGUACGAGUAGCAUAUAUCCAAGCUAUAAAGGAUAUGUAUGAAGGAGCAAAGACUGCCGUAAGAACUCAUGAAGGACAAACCGAAAGCUUUCCCAUAACUGUAGGAUUACAUCAAGGCUCAUCCUUAAGUCCUUACCUUUUUGCGUUGGUAAUGGAUGAGUUAACAGGACAUAUUCAAGAUGAUAUUCCUUGGUGUAUGCUUUUCGCAGACGAUAUAGUGUUGAUAGAUGAAACUCAGGAAGGGGUAAAUGCAAAGCUUAACCUUUGGAGAGAAGUGUUGGAAUCUAAAGGUCUUCGCCUAAGCCGAUCAAAGACAGAAUAUAUGGAGUGCAAGUUCAGUGCAAAUGGAGGCCAAAACGAGUUAGGGGUGAGGAUCGGAGAUCAAGAAAUACCAAAGAGCGACCGUUUUCGUUACCUAGGAUCUAUCUUGCAAAAGAACGGAGAAUUAGAUGGAGAUCUCAACCAUAGAAUACAAGCUGGAUGGAUGAAGUGGAAGAGUGCAUCCGGCGUGUUGUGUGACCGCCGUAUGCCACUGAAGCUCAAGGGAAAAUUUUAUAGGACGGCAAUAAGGCCGGCGAUGCUGUAUGGCACAGAAUGUUGGGCGGUGAAGCAUCAACACGUACACAAAAUGGGUGUAGCGGAGAUGAGGAUGCUUCGUUGGAUGUGUGGGCACACGAGAAAGGAUAAGAUUAGGAAUGAGGAUAUCCGGGGUAAAGUAGGAGUAGCCGAAAUUGAAGGAAAGAUGAGAGAAAAUCGGUUACGGUGGUUUGGACAUGUGCAAAGAAGGCCUACUGACGCUCCGAUUAGAAGAUGCGACUAUGGGACAGAGGUUCAGGGCCGAAGGGGUAGAGGAAGACCUAGGAAAACUUUGGAAGAGACUCUAAGAAAAGACUUAGAGUACUUGGAUCUAACGAAGGACAUGACACAGGACCGAGCACAAUGGCGUUCUAAGAUUCAUAUAGCCGAUCCCACUCAGUGACUUGGAUUUUCCAAGUCUCCAACCGAGAAGUUUUCCUCACUCGGGAAAUUAAGGGAACACUACCUCAACCUACAUGCUCCACUCAGAAAGCUUCAACAUACAAGCUUCAACAAAAAGAAAAUUCAAAGAACUUAGCGAAGAAGGCUUUGGUGUAUUUAACACAAUACGUUGAAAUGAAGGAAAGCUUAUUUAUUGAUAUCCCCGAUAAGCUUACAAAUAUGUACAUAUACAUGAGUCAAAAUAAACAAACAAGAGGGAGCCUUCACAAAGGUUGCUUAGGAGAAGUCUCAGCAGUCGGUAGAGCCCCAGAAAGAGAAGGCACCGGAGGGGGAUCAUUCGGAGCCUCAGUACUGGACAGAACCCUAGAAGGAGGAGGCAUCAGAGGUUGAUCAUUUGGAGCUUCAUUACGCGGUACAGCCCCAGAAGACGAAGGCAAUAAAAUGCCUUUGGAACAAACCCACAAAUCUCUGAUGAUCAAGUAAAACCUGACCAUCAGUUUCCUUCAUCUGGUCAAGCUUCCUCUUCAUGUUUGUAGCAUAGUCAUGUGCGAGCCGGUGCAACUGUUUAUUCUCAUGCUUGAGCCCUCUAAUCUCCUGUUUGAGACUCAUCACUUCAGCCGCCAAUGAUUCAACUUGGCGGGUUCGAGCAAAUAGGCGUUGGGCCAUAUUAGACACAGAACCUGCACACUGAACACUGAGAGCCAGAGAAUCCUUAACAGCUAACUCAUCAGACCGUUUGGAAAGUAGUCUGUUAUCUUUGGGAGUGAGAAGGUUCCUGGCCACCACCGCAGCGGUCAUAUCAUUCUUCAUCACGGAAUCCCCAACGGUAAGAGGACCAGUAGGGGAGACGAAGGAUGGGCGCCAUAUGUUGUCUGGAGAAGGCGGGGCUGCCUCUUCAACAAGGUUCAAGUCAAAACGACGGUCGGAGGGGCCAGACAUUUUCAAAGGUGUUGAAGAGAGAAGAGGUCGGACAAAUCAAGAUCUUAGAAGUGCAAGAAUGGAGCUUCUACUGGUGGAGAUUCAAGUGUGCUUUGGAACUUAAUGCCAGCCCCUAUAAAAAUCUGCACUCGACGGAAGCUUCAGAAAUCGAAGAGGCGCCUGCUCAGAAAUCGAAGAGGCGUUUGCUUUCUCAAAAGCUGGGCUGCUCAGAGACCACGAGGGUUGAUCUCAGAAAUCGAAGAGGCGUUUGCUUUCUCAAAAGUUGGGCUGCUCAAAGACCACGAAGGCCGAUCUCAGAAAUCGAAGAGGCGCUCGCUUUCUCAAAAGCUGGGCUCCUCAGAGACCACGAGGGCCGAUCUCAGAAAUCGAAGAGGCACCUACUUUUCCAGCCUUGUCAGCACCUGUCACACACGCACACUCAGCUUUGCGGAAAUUAUGGGCAUUCUGUCGAAGACUUUCUGAGGAAGUAGAAAACACAUGAAUCUUACUGUUCAAUCACCCACUUCCCACACGCAACAAUAGCUCAUGGGUACCACAGAUAACUUUGCCAAAGUUCUCUGCCAAAGUUGAGCACGUGAAGCUUGCAGCUCCCACUACAUCGCUCUGACCAAGAAAGGGUAAAAGAAUAGCAAAGAAACAGCACUAACAAAGUUUAGACCCAUAAAUUUUGAAGGUCUAGCUACCAUAUUAUUACCCACAAGGGUAAAGGAACAGUACCACUGCUGGAUAAUUGGAAAGUCCCUGUGUGUCAACCUCUGUGCUUCGUGGCAAGGUAGACUAGCAAACAUGCCCAACCUUUACUCACAUUCGAGAAAACACUACCCAAUAAGAUUGCUUGCUCCAAAAUCGAAGAGGCACCGUCCUCCGAAUCUCGAGAGCCAGACUCCCAACAUGACUACUUUCUCAAAAAAUCGAAGAGAGGGUAAAGGAACAGUACCAUUGCUGGAUAAUUGGAAAGUCCCUGUGUGUCAACCUCUGUGCUUCGUGGCAAGGUAGACUAGCAAACAUGCCCAACCUUUACUCACAUUCGAGAAAACACUCCCAACAAGAUUGCUUGCUCCAAAAUCGAAGAGGCACCGCCCUCCGAAUCUCGAGAGCCAGACUCCCAACAUGAUUACUUUCUCAAAAAUCGAAGUGACACUGCUCCCCGAAUCUCGAGAGCCAGACCCCCAUCAUGAUUGCUUUCUUAAAAAAUCGAAGAUGCAUCGUUCUCCGAAUCAAUCGAAGAGACACUCGCUUUCUCAAAAGCUGGGCUGCUCAGAGACCACGAGGGCCGAUCUCAGAAAUCGAAGAGGCACCUUCUUUUCUAGCCUUGUCAGCACCUGUCACACGCACACUCAGCUUUGCGGAAAUUAUGGGCAUUCUGUCGAAGACUUCUCGAGAGCCAGAUACGACAGACCACUUUUUCAAAGUGCUCUGACAGAGUUAAAACAUGUGAAGCUGGCAGCUCCCACUACCGUGCUAUGACCAAGCAGGGUAAAGGAAUAGCAUUACUACUUGUUGUUAGGGAGACUCCUAUAUAUGUCGACCUCCAUCUCCAACGGACAGGCAGACCUGCAAAAAUGUUCAACCCUUCCUCAUAUCUGAGAGGGCACUCCCAACGAAGCCUUUCGAAAUAUUCAGCUUUCUUUCCCCCCGAUAAUACCUUUGCAAACAAGCUAUACUAGAGCAAGAAUAUCUCAUAUCAUCAGGGUUAAAAGCAAGAGUAUCCCAUAUCAUGCUUUUUCCCUGUCUUUUCCUUUGGCCUUGUUGUUACCUGCAAGACAAGGAGAAAGAGAGCAAUCAGUCAGCACUUGGAAUCAAGCUUCCAGCCAGGAACUGACUGCCUGGAACCCCUUACCUGAUUACUUACCUGGCAUUGCUCUCGAGUACUCAUCUUCAACAUCUUAUGUUUCCAGGGAAGAUACCGCAUCUGCUUGAGGAACAGAUAGGGCAAGUGCGAAGGAUACAAGGAAGCAUGUGGAGACAAGCGUAACAGCACACGUGCCGAUACAUCCAUUACUCUGUCAAAAGCAAAAGUAUCCCAUAUCAGCAGGGUCGAACGUACUCUAGAUUUGAUGGACUUGUUUUGACCCUCAAAUUCUUCAGUCGGCUCUGGAGGAAACCAGAAAACCCUCCAGCUCAGUUCAAGAAUAAGCCUGUGGAAAGUUACUUCUUCAAAAGCAAAAGUAUCCCAUAUCAUCUCUUCUCAUCUUUCUUCUCUUUAUCCUUCAUGCUGCCUGCAAGAUAGGGAGAAGGUGAACAAUCAGCCGGAGCUCUGAUUGCUUACCUUGUCUGUCACCUCUUUCAGCAGAUCCCCUAGCUCGGCGACUUAGGAGACUCCUACUACAUGGUUUGUAUCGCGCUUGACCAAGCCUGAAACUACAAGUAAGCUUCAAGUGAAAUUGAUACAUUACCUUGUGCAUCUCCACCAGUUAAAGAUACCACCCCUGGAUGGAGGAAGAGUACUUCCAGAGAAGAUGCCACAUCUACCUAUGAGACAGAUAAGGCAAGUCAAGACGAUACCACACUCCGAUACUUAGAAGUUUCGUGAUUACGAGAUCAUUCUCUCCACAAUAUUUCCUAAUGUCAUUUGUACUAAAUCAUUCACUUGUACUCACUAAAGGAGAGCUUGAACCUAUGUACUUGUGUAAACCCUUCACAAUUAAUGAGAACUCUUCUAUUCCGUGGACGUAGCCAAUCUGGGUGAACCACGUACAUCUUGUGUUUGCUUUCCUAUCUCUAUCCAUUUAUAUACUUAUCCACACUAAUGACCGGAGCAAUCUAGGGAAGAUCACAAAAAGCGACCGUUUUUGCUGCCUAGGAUCUAUCUUGCAAGAGAACGGAGAAUUAGAUGGAGAUCUCAACCAUAGAAUACGACCUGGAUGGAUGAAGUGUAAGAGUGCAUCCGGCGUGUUAUGUGACCGUCGUAGGUCACUGAAGCUCAAGGGAAAAUUUUAUAGGACGACAAUAAGGCCAACGAUGUUGUAUGGCACAGAAUGUUGGACGGUGAAGCAUCAACACGUACACAAAAUGGGUGUAGCGGAGAUGAGGAUGCUUCGUGGGAUGUGUGGGCACACGAGAAAGGAUAAGAUUGGGCAUGAGGAUAUCCGAGGUAAAGUAGGAGUAGCCGAAAUUGAAGGAAAGAUGAGAGAAAAUCGGUUCCGGUGAUUUGGACAUGGGCAAAGAAGGCCGACUGACGCUCCGGUUCGAAGAUGUGACUACGGGACAGAGGUUCAGGGCCGAAGGGGUAGAGGAAGACCUAGGAAAACUUUGGAAGAGACUCUAAGAAAAGACUUAGAGUACUUGGAUCGAACGGAAGACAUGACACAAAACCGAGCGCAAUGGCGUUCUAGGAUUCAUAUAGCCGACCCCACUUAGUGGGAAAAGGCUUUGUUGUUGUUGUUGUUGUUGUAUAUUUGAUUAUAUUCAAUCUCAGCAUUGGAUUUAAAAUUUUAAAAUUUAAAAAAUUAAAUAGGUUUGAAUCCAACGGUCCAAUAAUUAAAACCGACGGUUUGAAAAGAGUUGUUGGCUCGUUUUGGGUGGGUGGCCUAACAUUCUCGUUAGGAGCGGGCUCCACAUUCAGUUAGCCUUCACGUGAUGGGCGCGUUGCCUUACUGUGGCCUCCACUUUUAUGGGUGUGUCCAUGUGCAUAAGGUGGGCCAGCCUUCCCUGGCCGGAAUUCUGGGUUAAAUUUGCCAAAAUUUUAGUUUUUAACUCAAAACUUAUUUUAGGCUCAACUCUUGGAAAAGAAUUGAGUUAGUUUUAAACCAAAAUUUUAGGUUUUAACUAAAGGAUUGGAGAUGGUCGUAUUUAGUUUUCAUUUAUAAAAAGGUGAAAAAUAAGAGAUUUCGUAGUAUUAUUCAAGGAAUUUGAAGCUGGGAUUAAUUUUUUGGUCGGUAGGUCGCUAGGGUGGUCCAAUGGUCUCAGGGCUUGAACCGGAUUCACGUUAUUGCUUGGGCCGGUCCAAGUCGGUAGGCCCUAGACAUCAGAUAUUGUUACAUGGAGUGAAACAUGUUUUGUGCGUUCCUCAAAUCACUUCUAUGAGUAAUGCUAGUAACAACAACAAAUAAAAAUUUUACGUCACAAAACAUGAGUUUUCCUCGAGUAAUAACUUUUUGGUCUAAUUGGAUUAAUGGUCCUCAUGGUGAUAUGAUAAUUGGAAGAUAAUCCUUGUGGUAAAAAAAUUCGGAUUUAAACCCAUGUGGUGAAGUUCGUUAGGAAUUAAGCCCAAAUCAAAAUUUUCGUUAAUUAGUUUGUCUGUUAAGUUCUUCUUCUUAUCCCAGAAGAGAAAUAUCUAGUUUCAUAGAUAUGCAACAAGCUCCCUUUGCCAAGGGAUCUAGCUUAAAAUCUUAUUGGCUUCAUCCUUGCUGUAGACUGCCCUGUGGAUAAAGUUUCCUGCUAUGUAUCUGACGAUGGUGUUGCCAUGCUUACCUUCGAAUCUCUUGCCGAGACAUUUGAAUUUGCAAGAAAGUGGGUACCAUUCUGCAAGAAAUAUUUUUCGAUUAAAUCAUGUGCACCUGAGUUUUACUUCUCACAAAAAAUUGACUACUUGAAGGAUAAAGUGCAACAAUCUUUUGUGAAGGAGCGCAGAGCGAUGAAAGUAAGUACCUAAUGGCCGAAGCUUCUUCUAGUUGCAACUGAAUAUUCACUCAUGAUAAUUUGAUAUCAAAACUAAAUGAAAGCAAGCAUGCUAGUUGUUCGGCUAUGGGCUUAUUACAAUAAAAAUCAAGCAUGUAAAAGUAAUGAAGCAAAGAAGAUCUAGAGUCGGAUCCAUUGGCAAAAGGAGCUUGCUGCAUAUCUAUGAAACUAGAUGUUUCUUUAAAAAAAAACACACACACACACAACUUGAUGAAGAAACUAACAGAAAUUUUGAUUUUGGGCUUAAUUCUUAACGGACUUCACCACAAGAGUUUAAAUCUGAAUUUUUUAUCACAUGGACUAUCCUCUGAGUACCAUAUCACCACGAGGAUCAUUUAUCCAAUUAGGCCUAACUUUUUUCUUUUGCAAAAAAUAAGAAAGCUAACUUUUUAUAUCUCAUAUAAAAUAAAAUUUUAUUUUAUUUCAGUGUAAUUGGGUAUUAUCCAACUUCUUUAGGUUUUUGGCAUGAAUUUACACAUUGUAAGGAAAGCUCCCAUCACUUAAUGUCGUUUUCUUCACAGGGAUAUGAAGCAUAUCCCACUUAACCCCAUUUUUAUCGGGGGAUGAAGCACUUAAUUAACUUUUUAGCAGAAAAAUUUCUUGUUCGAGCCUCAACACAAUCAAAACACUUUUCUUAAAGGUUGAAAAUAAUAAGCAAGAUAAAAACUCCCUAAAAAAGCACUUUUUUUGCAAGAGAAGAAAUAAGCACUUUUAGGACUUCUUACCCAUUUGUCCAUAUUUUCUUAUUCUAGACCGUAUAUUUUUAUUGUAUUUAUAUUAUUUUGUUGCGUACCCUAAACUUCCAUUUAAGUCAUAGCAUUCUCGAUUCAAAAGAAAAUUCAACUCCUAUAAAUACAUGCAGUUUUCCUUCUCUCAAAUUACUACCUUGAAAGAACUCAACAGUCCAUCCAAAGUUACAAAGAAUUGUUGACAACAGUUCAGAUAGCAUGCAAAGCAGCUCUAUUUCGCAUUCUCAAGCAACCUCAAGCUCCUGUCGCUCUAACUUAAUGGGUACGUCUGCAUGACCUUUCGUUUCCAAAUUCGAUAUGAAAGUUAUAUACUUGUUCCCAAUUUUUUGUUUUCCGGUACAAACUCUAUCUUUGUUCAAUUUAUUAUACGAAAAUUUGAUACGGAACUUUAUGGAAUUGAAACUGAUUGUUUUAAUUUGGAUUUUUUAAUGCAGUUGGCUAUUGGGCUUUUGUGUUCUUAUUCUUAGCAUCUAUUGCUAAUGCGAAAGCCGAAGUCUUUUAUGUGACAAAUUCAACAUAUGGAGGAAACCCUAGCGGCGAUAUUACGCUUGCUUUGGCUGACGCUUGGAGAGCUGCCUGUUCAUCGCCAUGGCCAGCCAAAGUUGUUAUUCCAGAAGGGGAAUACUACUUAAGAGGAGCAAUUUUACAUGGUCCAUGCAAAUCUCCCAUUGAGGUUCAAGUUCAAGGGUAUUUGCGUGCUCCACAAGAAAGCAGCCAACUCCUUCAACAGAAUACUUGGGUUGGCUUUCAAUACGUUGACAGGCUCACCUUAUUUGGUGGUGGAACUUUUGAUGGCCAAAGUAAUUGCCACAAAUAUAAAAGUUGCCAAUCCAACAGAGUAUUUGUAAGGACAUUGUAAUCAAUCCUUGCUUUUGUUUACUUAAGUCGAUUUUUAUCGUUUAUUUAAUUAUAUGUCGCUAAUACUUGUUUUGUUUUAAUGCAGAAUUUGAGGUUUGAUUUUGUCACAAAUUCAGUGAUCGAGGGCAUAACUUCACUAGAUAGCAAAAAUUUCCACAUCAAUGUUUUUGCAUGUCGCAAUGUUACAUUCCAAUAUGUUACUAUCACCGCACCUGAAGACAGUGUCAACACAGAUGGAAUUCACAUCGGGAGAUCGUUUGGGGUCACCAUUGAUCACACAAUAAUUGGAACAGGCGACGACUGCAUUUCUCUUGGUGACGGUAGCCAGAACAUUGUCGUGACCAACGUUACUUGUGGACCAGGGCAUGGCAUAAGCAUCGGGAGCCUAGGAAAGUAUCCAGACGAAGAGCCCGUGGUUGGAGUCAGAGUGAAGAACUGCACACUCACUAACACACAAAAUGGUGUGAGAAUCAAAACAUGGCCGGGUUCUCCAACAUUUACAACUGCCUCGCAUAUUCACUUUCAAGAUAUUAACAUGGUAAAUGUUAGUAACCCUAUUUCUAUAGACCAAGAGUACUGCCCUUACACUUAUUGUGGAAAAGAUGAUCCAUCCAAAGUCAAGAUAAGCGACAUCAGUUUCACCAACAUCAAGGGCUCAUCUGCAACCCCAGUUGCAGUCAAGCUUAUGUGCAGUAGAAAAAUACCGUGUGAUGGAGUCGGGUUGACUGACGUGGACCUCACGUACAUCGGAAGCAAAGGCCCUCUCACCUCUCAAUGUGCUUAUGUCAAGCCCUACAUUACUCGCGUGGCGAAUGCUCUUGCUUGUGCUACCUGGUCAUAUUCUAAUAGUCUAAGAAGUGGAAGAAAUCUCACUAAUCUUCUCACUAGAUAGUUUGCUGCUUCUCUGGUUUUGUUUGAUGGUAUAUCAUGUAAGAGGUAGAAAAUAGGUAGUAUUGGGCUUAGUGAAUGUGUGUCUUUUGCUUUUGAUUUAGGGUUACAUUGGUUCCCGACCUAGGUUUAUGGGUCUGGGGCGGAAUCUAUGAUUGUGGCCCUUUGAACGCACUAUAAUUUCAUCAGUAAAUAAAAAAUAAAUAAAAAAUAAAGUUUUAUCAACACGGUUGCAUUUUUUUUAGCUUAAAACAUCAUUAGUAUUCAUUCAAAAUGGAUUAGCUAAAAUGAGCAUGAUUCCCUUUGAAUCCUGGGGAUUUGAUCCGUGAUGCUUUAUUUGAAGAUUAUACUAUUUAAUCAUCAAUAAAAUGUUAAUGAUCUAGUCGUACCAUGAACACACUUCUUUUUUGGUGCAGUUUUUGCUCACCGACUUUUUGAAAUUUGUGUCUAUUUACUACACCGAUCUCAAAAUUUAAACUCAUUCAACAAUGAUAAAAAAGGUGAUGAGCAUCACCAUUACUUAGUGGUGAGGAAAAAUUGGUUUGAGCCAAAUCAAACUAAAAAGUCUAGGAAGGCGAAUAAAAAUCUGGAUCGAUCUUCCAAUUGGAACAUACGAUCAAACUCAACAUGGUAAAAGGUGCUUUUAUUAAUUUAAUUGGGUGUAAGGAAUUUCUGUUGUGAUAAUAAUUUCCAAAACAAAAUAAUGGUUUAAAAGAUUAUAAAAAACAUUUAAGCUUAAUUAGUUAAGUUUCAACGCAUCACAUCUCAAAACACAGCGAAACUCAGAUCUUGAUCAAGCACCUGGAGUCGAGCAUGAACAGCAUCUGAAAAUUUGAUGGCAAUUCAUUUUCCGACCAUUUUGCCGGAGUGCGUAAAAGGACGUACCGUGUAAAUAUUAGCCUAAACUCGAAGCCAAUUCUUUUUAUUUUCAAACUUUAGCGCUAUGGAAACCUUUAAGGGAAAUCAAAGGAAAUGCCUUUUAACAACUGGAAGUCUCUAUUAACAGUACACAAGUCACACUCUCCAUCUUCCCCCUCCCUCCCUCCCUCCCUCCCUCCCCCUCAGCUCUCUGGAGAUAAAAAGAAUGCUUUUUAACAAAUUAAAUAACAGAGAGUGAGAGAACGAGCGGACGAGCGACCGAGCGGGGGCUCCUUUCCUCAAAUCCUAAAGCAUGCAAAUGCCGCUACCCAGAAAUCAGUGGCUCAUGACUGAUGGUAUAACUUUUAUGUACAACCGUUUGAUGGACAACUCCCUGUGAAGAUAGUUUGCAGCCAGCCUUCAGCUUUCAGCAUCAUAUCGAACUGUACAUGCAUAAAACAACGGAUGGAACAACCUGCCGCCGACAAACUGGUCUUCCCUUGGGACCAAAUUUUCAACCUGCUGAGAGGAAUACCCCAAGCAUCUGCCGGUGUAGGUAACAAGAUAUUUAGUAACAGUACGAUUUAACAAGCAAACUAAAAGCAACGGUGAUGAUAAAGAGAACAAAGAGUGUUCUGUAUUUUUCAGAAUUGGAAUAAUUAUAGGAUCACCUGUAGCCACUAACCUCAAUGUGCAGUUAACUGAACCAUUGAUCCAAGGUCCAGAUUUAUUGUCAGAAGUGGAUAUUCUCUGCUGCUAUCAAGAAUCCUUUGCCAUCAAUCUGCGUCAAACAUAUAUACCACCUGAGAUGCCAAAAGAGAACAUUCAGCAUCGUGAAUAAAAUCGGACUAACACGGAACUUGGUAACAUGAUGAACUACCAUCCAUGAAGUUCAUGAUUGUCUUUACCUAAAAAUCCAAACUAAACCAUGAAGAAAGAACCAAUUGUAGUUUGUCCAAGGACCUUGGAGCUUCGAUCAAGGCCAUGAGAAGCAACCUUCCAUGCAAAACAUAAACCAUUUACCAUAAAACUUAGAUCCAAAACAGGAAAUAGUUUCAAUUUGAAGUUUGGAACGUAUAAAUUAAGGAUUCUUCAAAAUGAACUUGCAGAUAAAGCUCAACACAUGCCCUUCACUUGAGAAAUUUCAACACAAGGUUUAGUUACAAAUCAUGGAUGGUGGGGGUAGGCAAGGGGCUCCAAGUGGAUGGUGGGGGUGAGGCAAAGGGCUCGAAGUGGAGGGUAGAAGGGAGCGUGAGAGAGGGGGCCAAACUCUUUUUUUCAGAUUUAUUUCUUAAAUGAGUAAUGAGGGUACAAUGGGAAUAACGAGAUUACCAUAAACUGUUGAGUGACAAUGGGUUUCUUCAACAUUUACUACAUUAAAGAAAACAUUAUGCAAAAUUAAGAACGUGGCAAAAGAUUCUCACCAAGUAAGUUAAAGCUGCAUAGCGUUCCUCGUUCAAGUACAGUGGCUUUCCUCUGUGCAUUUCAACAUCCUGCAAUAACAAAAUUUACAAUAUGAUACACAGAAAGCAUAAACCCCUAGAAAUCAAUGAAUGCACUAAAAGCACAAAUAAGAACAGGAGCGUCCACAAGUACUACUUCCAACAUCUUCGUCUUCCAUUUUACAUUUUCUUUUUGAGGGUUUUGGGCUGAUGGAAGAAUAAAACUGCAAAGCGACUUUUGCAUUUUAUUCAGAAAAACCGUAUGCAAUAAAAGGGGGAAAUUUCUUUUUUCUUUUUUAUUUUUUUUAUUUGACUUGGGGGUUGGAGAUUUGAGCUAAGCCACACAAUGGGCUAGCCAUAAUUAAGUAUUUCCCUUGGGAGUUGAACCUGAGACCUCCUACUUACAAGUGCAAAGGAAUACCAUUAAACAGCAGUUCAAGUGGCAGAAAAGGGGAAAUAUCUAAACUGCCUGAAAGGAGCUCCAUGAAAUGCAGUAUCAAACAUUCUUUUGCUUCAUUCUAUAGAUGUAAAACUCCAAACUGAAAGAGGAGAUAUGCAACUAUAGUGGGUGGAUGGCAUAAUGAGAACAUCCUCUAAAAACCGAUGCCCCAUUCCUCCUCUUGCCAAAGCAAUAAAAAUAAAAGGCAUUUCACAAGUAAGCCCUUGAAACCAUAAAGAUGAAUGACUUGCUAAAAAGUCCUAUAAUGCAAAAUAUCUCUAAGGACCCUAGGCUCAAACCUGUAUGACUUCCAGGAUCAGAGCAGCUAAUUUGUAAGAUGGAUAGACAAGGGUUCACUAGAAUAUGGUAUGAUUAUUUUGUCAUUUCAAAUUGUUUACAAGGGAAGAUGAUGAAAGAAAUAGAGGAAUACAAUAGCAGAAACCAAUUACCUCUUCUCCAAAAGCAUCCAAGUAGGGCGAUGGCCAAGGAGCUUGCCGUGCAGACCUCUGCAGCAGAAUUGUUGUCCUCUGGAUUCACAGCAAAAAAAAUUAAUCAUCUCCGCAAACAAGAAUAGACAUAGAAACAAAAUUAAAAGAUCUGAAAGGCAGGAUUCCAAACAUAAUUAUUAAAAAAAGGAACCACAAUGCAUACCCUGAUCAACAGAAAUACACCAGUACCAGAACCACAGGACACUGCAUGAGUUUGGCAUCCACUUUCCCUAAGAUAAAACAUCAAAUUUAGCAAUGAUGGAGCAAUGGGCAUAAACAUUCUCUAUUGAUGGAUGCACCUAAAUGGAUAAUUUAUCUGAUAAUAACGACAUAUAUUAGUGAAUACAUACCUGCAACAUGACUUCCAGCUUGGAGAACAUAAUCUCCCACAAAGCAAGCACAAUGCAGGGUCAUCAAGGAUAUUUUUGCAAUCAGGACAACGCUGUUUUAUGUACCUGCAAAAACAUAACCUUUCUGAGUAAAUUUUAAUUCUCGAGAGAUCCUUUUAAAAGACAAGAACUCCAGUAACAAACCAAGAAGCAAUUCAACUAACCUCUGCAAUAGGUCCUGGUAAACUUGGGGAAGACGCAUCAAUUGGAAGGGAACUGCAGGGAUACAGUGCAUGCUUCCCUGAAAUCUUUGGACUUCAAACUCCUUCCGAAAAUGAUGGAACCAUUUCUGAGUUAUUGAACGUACCACAUUAUCCUUAAAGAUAACAUCCAGAGAAGGAAUCUUUAACUUGCUUUCUAUUUCCUGAACAUCAUUUAGCUCCACUAGUGCGACAUAAGUGGUGUCCAUCAUGUCACCAAUAGCAUGAGAUCUAUCCAAGACAUUAUACCUUUCAUGGAAUGGUACUCGGGAACAGGAGUUCAAUAGCUUCAACAGCAAUGCACACCUCCGCAAAUAAGGGAAACUCAGGCUACGAACUAUGUUCUUGAUAUUAGGAGAAGAGCCAAUAUAAUUUGAAACAAAAAAUUGCUGAGUGGCUCCAGAUUCUUCCAUAAGUUUAGAGAGGUCAGUAACCAGGCAAUCAUCAAUACCUAAUCCACUAAUGUCACAUUGAUUUUUCCCACAAUAUGUCAUUAUGCCCUGCAUUCACCAUAAUGAAUUAGGCCACUAGAUGUUUUUAAUGCUACUUAAGAAUUAUGAGAAAAAAAAGAAAGAAGAAGAGGUGCCGCUAACAUACCUGAACUACAGAGACAACAUAAAAUAAGUGCACUAGGGACAACAAUGAAUCUUCACAUGAUAAAAAUCGGUAUGGAAGACAAAAAAGAACCCACAUCAAUGAUGAAAAAGGAUCGCGAGCAAGGACAGGAUCAGAAGCUCGCCUCCAGAACUGAAUAUCAGGAUACGAUACUGCCAGAUCAGCAUAUUCCAAGAUACGCAGCAUAGCACCUGUGAAACAUAGCAUUGAUGAGGAUUUAACCGAAUAAAGUAAAAUGCUUCAAAUUUUGGCAAGCAUAACACCUAAAAUUUUGCACAUGUGAAACUUGAAUGCUUAAUAGUUCUUUCGUGACUUCCAAUAGGGUCCAAGAAUUCAACCAGCCGCAGCAUUCUCCAUUAUACGAAUGAAUAGUGCUACUUAUCCCAGAUUUCUCUCAACUUUUUUUUUUCCCAAUCAGACAUGAUAUAUACACCACAUCAUUGCAUUAAGAAAUGCAGCAAUGUUUUAGAAUCCAAUGUGAGAAUGCCAUGUAAAAGGUUGGGGUCAACAGAGUAUUGAUCACCUAAAAAAUCACUUUAAUAAAUUCAUCCUUUGAAAGAAAAAACAACAACAACAACAACAAAGCCUUUUCCCACUAAGUGGGGUCGGCUAUAUGAAUCCUAGAACGCCAUUGCGCUCGGUUUUGUGUCAUGUCCUCCGUUCGAUCCAAGUACUCUAAGUCUUUUCUUAGAGUCUCUUCUAAAGUUUUCCUAGGUCUUCCUCUACCCCUUCGGCCCUGAACCUCUGUCCCGUAGUCACAUCUUCGAACCGGAGCGUCAGUCGGCCUUCUUUGCCCAUGUCCAAAUCACCGGAACCGAUUUUCUCUCAUCUUUCCUUCAAUUUCGGCUACUCCUACUUUACCUCGGAUAUCCUCAUGCCCAAUCUUAUCCUUUCUCGUGUGCCCACACAUCCCACGAAGCAUCCUCAUCUCCGCUACACCCAUUUUGUGUACGUGUUGAUGCUUCACCGUCCAACAUUCUGUGCCAUACAACAUCGUUGGCCUUAUUGUCGUCCUAUAAAAUUUUCCCUUGAGCUUCAGUGGCCUACGACGGUCACAUAAACACGCCGGAUGCACUCUUACACUUCAUCCGUCCAGGUCGUAUUCUAUGGUUGAGAUCUCCAUCUAAUUCUCCGUUCUCUUGCAAGAUAGAUCCUAGGCAGCAAAAACGGUCGCUUUUUGUGAUCUUCGCUAGAUUGCUCCGGUCAUUAGUGUGGAUAAGUAUAUAAAAUGAAUAGAGAUAGGAAAGCAAACACAAGAUGUACGUGGUUCACCCAGAUUGGCUACGUCCACGGAAUAGAAGAGUUCUCAUUAAUUGUGAAGGGUUUACACAAAGUACAUAGGUUCAAGCUCUCCUUUAGUGAGUACAAGUGAAUGAUUUAGUACAAAUGACAUUAGGAAAUAUUGUGAGAGAAUGAUCUCGUAAUCACGAAACUUCUAAGUAUCGGAGUGUGGUAUCGUCUUGACUUGCCUUAUCUGUCUCAUAGGUAGAUGUGGCAUCUUCUCUGGAAGUACUCUUCCUCCAUCCAGGGGUGGUAUCUUUAACUGGUGGAGAUGCACAAGGUAAUGUAUCAAUUUCACUUGAAGCUUACUUGUAGUUUCAGGCUUGGUCAAGCGCGAUACAAACCAUGUAGUAGGAGUCUCCCAAGUCGCCGAGCUAGGGGAUCUGCUGAAAGAGGUGACAGACAAGGUAAGCAAUCAGAGCUCCGGCUGAUUGUUCACCUUCUCCCCAUCUUGCAGCAGCAUGAAGGAUAAAGAGAAGAAAGAUGAGAAGAGAUGAUAUGGGAUACUUUUGCUUUUGAAGAAGUAACUUUCCACAGGCUUAUUCUUGAACUGAGCUGGAGGGUUUUCUGGUUUCCUCCAGAGCCGACUGAAGAAUUUGAGGGUCAAAACAAGUCCAUCAAAUCUAUAGUACGUUCGACCCUGCUGAUAUGGGAUACUUUUGCUUUUGACAGAGUAAUGGAUGUAUCGGCACGUGUGCUGUUACGCUUGUCUCCACAUGCUUCCUUGUAUCCUUCGCACUUGCCCUAUCUGUUCCUCAAGCAGAUGCGGUAUCUUCCCUGGAAACAUAAGAUGUUGAAGAUGAGUACUCGAGAGCAAUGCCAGGUAAGUAAUCAGGUAAGGGGUUCCAGGCAGUCAGUUCCUGGCUGGAAGCUUGAUUCCAAGUGCUGACUGAUUGCUCUCUUUCUCCUUGUCUUGCAGGGAACAACAAGGCCAAAGGAAAAGACAGGGAAAAAGCAUGAUAUGGGAUACUCUUGCUUUUAACCCUGAUGAUAUGAGAUAUUCUUGCUCUAGUAUAGCUUGUUUGCAAAGGUAUUAUCGGGGGGGAAAGAAAGCUGAAUAUUUCGAAAUGCUUCGUUGGGAGUGCCCUCUCAAAUAUGAGGAAGGGUUGAACAUUUUUGCAGGUCUGCCUGUCCGUUGGGGAUGGAGGUCGACAUAUAUAGGAGUCUCCCUAACAACAAGUAGUAAUGCUAUUCCUUUACCCUGCUUGGUCAUAGCACGGUAGUGGGAGCUGCCAGCUUCACAUGUUUUAACUCUGUCAGAGCACUUUGAAAAAGUGGUCUGUGCUCUCGAGAAGUCUUCGACAGAAUGCCCAUAAUUUCCGCAAAGCUGAGUGUGCGUGUGACAGGUGCUGACAAGGCUAGAAAAGUAGGUGCCUCUUCGAUUUCUGAGAUCGGCCCUCGUGGUCUCUGAGCAGCUCAGCUUUUGAGAAAGCGAGCGUCUCUUCGAUUGAUUCGGAGAACGAUGCAUCUUCGAUUUUUAAGAAAGCAAUCAUGAUGGGGGUCUGGCUCUCGAGAUUCGGGGAGCAGUGUCACUUCGAUUUUUGAGAAAGUAAUCAUGUUGGGAGUCUGGCUCUCGAGAUUCGGAGGGCGGUGCCUCUUCGAUUUUGGAGCAAGCAAUCUUGUUGGGAGUGUUUUUCUCGAAUGUGAGUAAAGGUUGGGCAUGUUUGCUAGUCUACCUUGCCACGAAGCACAGAUGUUGACACACAGGGAUUUUCCAAUUAUCCAGCAAUGGUACUGUUCCUUUACCCUCUCUUCGAUUUUUGAGAAAGUAAGUCAUGUUGGGAGUCUGGCUCUCGAGAUUCGGAGGACGGUGCCUCUUCGAUUUUGGAGCAAGCAAUCUUAUUGGUAGUGUUUUCUCGAGUGUGAGUAAAGGUUGGGCAUGUUUACUAGUCUACCUUGCCACGAAGCACAGAGGUUGACACACAGGGACUUUCCAAUUAUCCAGCAGUGGUACUGUUCCUUUACCCUUGUGGGUAAUAAUAUGGUAGCUAGACCUUCAAAAUUUAUGGGUCUAAACUUUGUUAGUGCUGUUUCUUUGCUAUUCUUUUACCUUUCUUGGUUAGAGCGAUGUAGUGGGAGCUGCAAGCUUUACGUGCUCAAUUUUGGCAGAGAACUUUGGCAAAGUUAUCUGUGGUACCCAUGAGCUAGUGUUGCGUGUGGGAAGUGGGUGAUUGAACAGUAAGGUUCAUGUGUUUUCUACUUCCUCAGAAGUCUUCGACAGAAUGCCCAUAAUUUCCGCAAAGCUGAGUGUGCGUGUGACAGGUGCUGACAAGGCUGGAAAAGUAGGUGCCUCUUCGAUUUCUGAGAUCGGCCCUCGUGGUCUCUGAGGAGCCCAGCUUUUGAGAAAGCGAGCGCCUCUUCGAUUUCUGAGAUCGGCCUUCGUGGUCUUUGAGCAGCCUAAUUUUUGAGAAAGCAAACGCCUUUUCGAUUUCUGAGAUCAACCCUCGUGGUCUCUAAGCAGCCCAGCUUUUGAGAAAGCAAACGCCUCUUCGAUUUCUGAGCAGGCGCCUCUUCGAUUUCUGAAGACCGUCGAGUGCAGAUUUUUAUAGGGGCUGGCAUUAAGUUCCAAAGCACACUUGAAUCUCCACCAGUAGAAGCUCCAUUCUUGCACUUCUAAGAUCUUGAUUUGUCCAACCUCUUCUCUCUUCAACACCUUUGAAAAUGUCUGGCCCCUCCGACCGUCGUUUUGACUUGAACCUUGUUGAAGAGGCAGCCCCGCCUUCUCCAGACAACAUAUGGCGCCCAUCCUUCGUCUCCCCUACUGGUCCUCUUACCGUUGGGGAUUCCGUGAUGAAGAAUGAUAUGACUGCUGCGGUGGUGGCCAGGAACCUUCUCACUCCCAAAGAUAACAGACUACUACUUUCCAAACGGUCUGAUGAGUUAGCUGUUAAGGAUUCGCUGGCUCUCAGUGUUCAGUGUGCAGGUUCUGUGUCUAAUAUGGCCCAACGCCUAUUUGCUCGAACCCGCCAAGUUGAAUCAUUGGCGGCUGAGGUGAUGAGUCUCAAACAGGAGAUUAGAGGGCUCAAGCAUGAGAAUAAACAGUUGCACCGGCUCGCACAUGACUAUGCUACAAACAUGAAGAGGAAGCUUGACCAGAUGAAGGAAACUGAUGGUCAGGUUUUACUUGAUCAUCAGAGAUUUGUAGGUUUUGUUCCAAAGGCAUUUAUUGCCUUCGUCUUCUGGGGCUGUACCGCGUAAUGAAGCUCCAAAUAAUCAACCUCUGAUGCCUCCUCCUUCUAGGGUUCUGUCCAGUACUGAGGUUCCGAAUGAUCCCCCUCCGGUGCCUUCUCUUUCUGGGGCUCUACCGACUGCUGAGACUUCUCCUAAGCAACCCUUGUGAAGGCUCCCUCUUGUUUGUUUAUUUUGACUCAUGUAUAUAUGUACACAUUUGUAGCUUAUCGGGGAUAUCAAUAAAUAAGUUUUUCCUUCAUUUCAACGUAUUGUGUUAAAUACACCAAAACCUUCUUCGCUAAGUUCUUUGAAUUUUCUUUUGUUGAAGCUUGUAUGUUGAAGCUUUCUGAGUGGAGCAUGUAGGUUGGGGUAGUGUUCCCUUAAUUUCCCGAGUGAGGAAAACUUCUCGAUUGGAGACUUGGAAAAUCCAAGUCACUGAGUGGGAUCGGCUAUAUGAAUCUUAGAACGCCAUUGUGCUCGGUCCUGUGUCAUGUCCUUCGUUAGAUCCAAGUACUCUAAGUCUUUUCUUAAAGUCUCUUCCAAAGUUUUCCUAGGUCUUCCUCUACCCCUUCAGCCCUGAACCUCUGUCCCAUAGUCGCAUCUUCUAAUCGGAGCGUCAGUAGGCCUUCGUUGCACAUGUCCAAACCACCGUAACCGAUUUUCUCUCAUCUUGCCUUCAAUUUCGGCUACUCCUACUUUACCCCGGAUAUCCUCAUUCUUAAUCUUAUCCUUUCUCGUGUGCCCACACAUCCAACGAAGCAUCCUCAUCUCCGCUACACCCAUUUUGUGUAUGUGUUGAUGCUUCACCGCCCAACAUUCUGUGCCAUACAGCAUCGCUGGCCUUAUUGCCGUCUUAUAAAAAUUUUCCCUUGAGCUUCAGUGGCAUACGGCGGUCACACAACACGCCGGAUGCACUCUUCCACUUCAUCCAUCCAGCUUGUAUUCUAUGGUUGAGAUCUCCAUCUAAUUCUCCGUUCUUUUGCAAGAUAGAUCCUAGGUAACGAAAACGGUCGCUCUUUGGUAUUUCUUGAUCUCCAAUCCUCACCCCUAACUCGUUUUUGGCCUCCAUUUGCACUGAACUUGCACUCCAUAUAUUCUGUCUUUGAUCGGCUUAGGCGAAGACCUUUAGAUUCCAACACUUCUCUCCAAAGGUUAAGCUUUGCAUUUACCCCUUCCUGAGUUUCAUCUAUCAACACUAUAUCGUCUGCGAAAAGCAUACACCAAGGAAUAUCAUCUUGAAUAUGUCCUGUUAACUCAUCCAUUACCAACGCAAAAAGGUAAGGACUUAAGGAUGAGCCUUGAUGUAAUCCUACAGUUAUGGGAAAGCUUUCGGUUUGUCCUUCAUGAGUUCUUACGGCAGUCUUUGCUCCUUCAUACAUAUCCUUUAUAGCUUGGAUAUAUGCUACUCGUACUCCUUUCUUCUCUAAAAUCCUCCAAAGAAUGUCUCUUGGGACCCUAUCAUACGCUUUUUCCAAAUCUAUAAAGACCAUGUGUAAAUCCUUUUUCCCAUCUCUAUAUCUUUCCAUCAAUCUUCGUAAGAGAUAGAUUGCCUCCAUGGUUGAGCGCCCUGGCAUGAACCCAAAUUGGUUGUCCGAAACCCGUGUCUCUUGCCUCAAUCUAUGCUCAAUGACUCUCUCCCAGAGCUUCAUUGUAUGACUCAUUAGCUUAAUACCCCUAUAGUUCAUGCAAUUUUGUACGUCACCCUUAUUCUUGUAGAUAGGCACCAAAGUGCUCGUUCGCCACUCAUUUGGCAUCUUCUUCGUUUUCAAAAUCCUAUUGAAAAGGUCAGUGAGCCAUGUUAUACCUGUCUCUCCCAAAACUUUCCACACUUCGAUUGGUAUAUCGUCUGGGCCUACUGCUUUUCUAUGCUUCAUCUUCUUCAAAGCUACAACCACUUCUUCCUUCCGGAUUCUACGAUAAAAAGAGUAGUUUCUACACUCUUCUGAGUUACUCAACUCCCCUAAAGAAGCACUCCUUUCAUGUCCUUCAUUGAAAAGAUUAUGAAAAUAACCUUUCCAUCUGUCUUUAACCGCGUUCUCUGUAGCAAGAACCUUUCCAUCCUCAUCCUUGAUGCACCUCACUUGGUUUAGGUCCUUUGUGCCUAUCCUCAUCUUUGAAAGAAAAAACAAGGAUGGAAAAUAACUCUUAAAUCUAACUGUCAUCUUACUGUAGGGAUGUUAAUUGUAAUUCUGAAUGGCAUCUGAUUAGUGAAUCAGAAAGCAAGAAACAAAUAUUCACAGAAAGUCACCAGAAACAUAUGAAAUAAAUGGCUUUUACUGGUAGCAAUAAGAAUACCUUGUCCACAUGUUUCAUUGCGAACGUCUAUGGAAACUCCAAAUAGAAUAGAUUCUGUAAAGCUUUGAAUUCCUAUAAAUCUCUGAAGGACAUGAAGAGAAUUCUUUCUUCUGCUUUGGACUAUUUUCAGCAACAAGGACAAAAUAAAUCUACUUGAUUCAAGUUCCUUAUACAACGCAUUAAGGCCAAAGCUUGGUGUUGCAUAUUUCCCAUCAGAACGAGCAGCAAUUUCUGUUGAUAGUAGAGUACUUAAUUGUGUCCCACAUAAGCAUUGGGUGGUUAACCCUGGCAGAUCCUGAUAUCUUAUCCUGUUUAGUUGGAAAAUACAUCUUACUGAGCAAUCGAAAAAUUGGUUCAAGGUCUGAGGUCGUUCUUCCACAUCUCUGAAGGGGGAAACCUUUAAGACUUCCAACCUUCCCAGAUGCCUCUGCUGCAGAUCGCAAGAGAGCCAACCCUUGUUGAAGCUGAAGAGAAUUAAUUUCGUCAACUGAUUUGACCGAUGGACCAGUAGCAUGCGAUGAAUUAACACCUGAAUGCACAGGCUCCUUGGUGACAUGGAGAAACCCUGGCAAUGCGGGCAAGACAGAAUUUGCAAGUCGACGGCAUACAGGGCAGAGAAACUCCCCCUAUGGGAAAAUGAACAAACAUGCACAAGGUUAGUAAUAGAAUCCUCAUCCAUUCACUACAGGCAAAAGUUGGAAAAAAAAUGCAGGGAAACCUUGUACCUUAUCCGGAUCUGCAAUAUGUCCCCCUUCAAAAACAAUUCUUCUGAGAUACCUGCAUGGACAAAUAAGAUGGGACAAGUUAGGCCAUUUUCAAUAAAAUAUCAAUAAUCUUCCAGAGCAACGUGUAUGAUAUAUCUUACUAUUUUUCGUUAGAUGUUGCAAUGCAUCAUAACUAUAAAAGCAGGAAAUUCAUUUUUUAGCAACCAUCGAUUUGGAAAACCACACCAUACCCCCUUGUAGAACAAAUAAAGAAACCAAAAAAAUAAAUAAAAACUGAAUGAAAAAUCAUCAAGGCAAGAUUAAAGGUUCACACAGGUCUUCCUAAAGAACAAGACAACUCCACUUGCAAGGUUAAAAGCAAGGCCAAAGAGAUUAAGAGAAAUGUAUUCUGAAACCGUCUUUUCCAAAGUUUCUGCUACUGGAUUGCCCUUCCAAGUUCAUUGCACAAGGUGUGACCACUCUCACUAGCAAUCAAUAAAACAACAGAGAAGGCACUCCCUCUUAACAAAUAUUUUAAUAGCAUUUGCAUUUGAAAAAAUACAACUUCCACUAUUCAUGCAAAUAAUUAAAAAAAAAAUUCCAUAAUUAAGAUUAAGAAGUGAUCAAGAAUUCCCAACCAAAAUUACUAAGGAUUGAAGAUUUCUCUUAUUGAGAGGAUUUACCUUUCCUUCAACGAAAAUAAAUAACGAUCAAGGCAUCCCUGAUGCACAGCAUGUCCACAGGAAGAAAGAUAAAUUCCAUCACAAUCUGUCAGGCCAAAUCCGUCACGCGCUGAAAGACGAGAAGAAUCUACUGGCACCCUUUCAUUAGGAGCACUUUCAGAAGAUGAAGGAAUCUCUGUUGCCUCUCUAGAAAGAGCAGCUAUAUAUGUUCCAAGUAACAUAAAUUCAGCAUGCUUAGUUUCUUCUUGAUCCCCUUCAGGAGUUGAAAAUCCCUUAUCCUCUAAAGGAUUAGAAUGAAGUAUCUUAUCACGCAUUUCCUUUUGGAUGGAGAUGUACAUAUCGUCUUCCAUUGUCUCAAAUGUAAAUAAAGUCUUCACCAUAUCAUCAUUUGAUUCACGUGGCACUUGGAUAUCAGCACUUAAUUCAUGGAACCGGCCCUUGAGAAAAUUUAUAAGAGCGGCAACAUCCCUAGGUUGUCCAUGAUAGGCAAAUUUGGUGAUUGCAUUCUGAACCAACUGUCUGCAAGAAUAAGAUGGCACCUGUUCUGGUCCUGAACCUCUUGAUAAAGUGCUUGAUCCAGAUUGAUCACUCACCUUGUUUGUGGUAAUAGAGAUGUGCUCCUUGUCUGUCCAAGGUGGUUGCUCCCAUGACCGGGGACCUCUUUCUAUGAAACUUAAGAGUCUAGAUUUCUGAAGUAAAACCAAGUAGGAUAUGGGAUUUCUGGAACUGGGAUCAUGACAAAGAGAGCAAACAACUUGUUCAGAUUCUUCCAAGUCAUCUUCAAUAUUGAGUUUACAAACCUCUUGCUCAGAUUUUGAACCCUCAUCCACAGUGGAAUUUACACUGGCCAUAAACUUAGAUUGUUCGGCUCUCAUUUUUUCCAAUAUGGCAGCCUGUCUCUCUCUAGCUUUUGCCUUGCGCUUCUCAGAGUAAGAAAUUGAACCUGAGGUCUUAGCAUCACCAUUUAAAGAAGAUUGUGAUACGUGACCAAUCACUUCAGGUGCAAGUUGUUGUAAUAUGGUCAUACAUCCGGAAUCAAUCUCUACAAACUUCUUUAAUAAGCUUCCAAUUAAAGAAGAGAGGUCGCAACUGCCAGCUUCCAAACAAUUGUUGACAUUCUCUUUCUUAUACAUCCUCAUCGAGAUAACAAGAAGUGACAGUAAGCUUUGUUGACCAGCACCAAAGUAUCGCCCUUCAGUAAUUUCUUCCCCAGCAAAAGCUAGCAUUGGAAUUGCAUCUCCAUCAUAACAAGACUUAUCACCAGCUUCCUUAUGUUGAGAACAAAUGUCUAAUGCUAAUGAGAGUAAGUGCAAUGCAGUUAAGAGAACACUAUCAGGAGCUCGUGAAUCAUUUGAUUUAUCAGAAAAAACAGCAUAAAACAGCACAGCACGGAUAAUUUGAAGCACUGAUUUACAAGUAGCUAUUCUAGCUACCCCUUUGAAAGGAGAAUAAAUCUUAGUCCAUCUGGGUAGCUGAGUGGUCAAUGCACAAACACCACGAAAACGCAAGUAUCUUUCUUCUGCAGCUUGCAGAUCCCUCGAGUUCCAACGAGAGUAGUACAAAUCCAGUUCUUUCCAAAAUGUCCAUUGUAGCGAAUAAGUCCCCUGAUUAAAGCCAGAGGGAUUGGAGUACACGGCAAUGGAUUCCAAAAUUCCAUGUAGCUGAUCAGACUUGGAGAGAUCACGAGGAAGAGAUUUCACCAAUUGACUAUGAGUGCCAUCUGCAAUGGCUAAUUUAUGAACCAACUCUCUUUUCAAACUUUCAGCUUUAGUUAGACCACAAAAUCGCCUUUCUUUGAUUAUUUGUAUAAUAAGAGUGAGCAUUUCUUGCACUAGAAUAGUUUCAUAUUCACUAGAGCGCUCAAGGUUCAAAGAAAGGUAGCUGGACAGGCCAAAGCGUUCUAUAAUUCUGUUAACAUAAGGAUCAGCUGGAGCUAAGGCAGCACAGCACUGAAGCAGAAACAGAUCAAGCUCCAAACCCUGUUCAGACCUGCAAAAUUAACCAUAUGAUAAAGAGACAAUCCUGAAAAUAAAAGGGGAAAAAAGAGUGAAAAGAAAAUCAAUCAUUACAAGAGAUACAUUUUCCCCCUAAAAUGCAUGCCACAGAUAAAGCAUAAAUCACUUACCAGCGAACUGAACGAUACCACUCACAAGGUAACAGGGCGGCAUCCCCAUUUUUCCGCCACAUUCCAGCAUGAACCUCAGCACAAAAUACUCUGAUCCGAAGGGGAUGCUCCAUAACAAAAGCAGAAAAUCCAUAUGGGUGGCAGCCUCCCAGAAUAUUUCCAAAGAAGUCAGUGAAAAUAGCUGAUGAUGAAUUUGCAGAAGUAACGCUAGCCAGAUCUGGCACUUCACCGAAACAUCUUCUUAAUGCUUUCUGUAAAAGCAAGGAAAGUAAACGGUGUAAAGGAAUGUGAACAGAUAUAUCCUGCGAACUAACAUCAUAUGUUAUGUCUGGCCAAUCAGACAAAUUCAGAACGCGUUGAGCAUCCAAGUCCAUGGCACCAUCUACUUCCAUAGCACUAUCAUCAAAUCCUGCAGGAUUGCAGACAUUAACUGAAUCAAUUUCGUCAGUAACCAUCAAUUUACUCUCCUGCCCUGCACUUUUGCCAUUUUGGGUGUCAAUACUCAUAUUGCAAUCACUAUGUCCAUGUGAUGAAUGCUGCUUGCCAUGAUCUUCACUUGAACUGCCAAGUCUACCAAAAAUAUAUUUUCCUUUCCUGAUCUUGGAUAAUGUUCUCUUCAAUGCUGAAAAAUUGCUAACAGAGAAAUUGCUAGUACUUGGAGAAGAGGCAUCAAGAAGAGUCCUGGAGGUAUUAUCAACUCCCAGCCAAUUCUUAAUUGCCCUCAAGCACUCAUAUGUUAGCCACAUCACAGAAGGUGGAAUCAACAAAUCAGAAAGAGCAUCCGAUUUAUCUUCAGAAACCUUCGACUCGCACGCAAAUGAACUACUACUCCCUACUGCACUGCAUGCAGAACUUUCCUGGGACAGCCAUCCUACUUCUGAAUGCCUUAGGCUAUCCAUGUCAUCCAUAUCCUGCUUAUAUGUUCUGAAAAGAGAGUCUUCAUCCAUCUUGUCAAUAGCCACAGAAAAUGCCCCAUCCACCAAUAAAGAAUGAAUGUUGGCAAUUGAAUGACCUAGAACAAAUGGCAGAUGCAUAUUCUCAUUUUCUUCUUCAAUGUGUAAGCCUGUUUCUCUUUUCUGUGGGUUCAUCCCUUGAAUGAAAGCCAAGAGUCGUGUCCAAGUUCUUGAAAUAUCUUGCUGGUCACGUGUUACGUAUUUGGGCACUGUAGCAUGGCUCAUAACAAAUCGAAUAUCUUCAAUCACACGAAAUGUGAUCUCAUACAAAUUUGACAACGUGGUAACCUAUAAGGGUAACCAACAAUUUUACUACAUGAGACCAAAACAAAUGAAAAAGUAGGAACUUUUAUAAAGCAAAAGAAAACGCAUCAGGUACUCAAUCACAAUAAAAAAAAGGUCGUACCCAGUGCACAAGGCUCCCGCUUUAAGCAGGGUCUGGGAGAGGUGAAUGUCGGCUAGUCUUACCCCCAUUUAUGGAGAGGCUGCUCCCAAGUCUCGAACCCGAGACCUACCGCUCAUGGGCGAAGGCACUUGCCAUCGCACCAGGUACUCAAUCACAAUGAACUAGAAAAACAAAAAAACGAAAACAAACAGAAAAAAAAAAAAAAACAAACAGAAUGAACUCCACAACCGGAGCAUAAAAAGUACCAUAGUUAGAACACCAUAUAAGCACGACAUGACUUUAGAUUAAAACAUAACUACACAAUCUAUAAGUUGGGUUAUCAAUUCCAUAAUGAAGGUGGCAAGGACAAGGAAGCAAUGUGCAGAGGAGUAACGAUCAUUUCGCAACCUAUAGAGAUAUAUUAUAUUAUUAUAUAAAUAAAAGGAGAUCAGUGAAACAUUCAAAAUACCAACAAUUGUCCACCCCUAGUUAGAUUUUCAAAAGAAAACAAUUUAAUUGGUGGUAAAUUAGUUAUCACAUUUGGAAGUAAAUAAAAAAUUCAGUAAAAACCAAUAUUUUAAAAGGCUUGCCUCAGAGCUCGCCUAGGCGCCCUCUAAGGCUGGGCUUGAGGGUUGUCGCCUCUGUUUUGAGGGAGUGGGCGUAAGGCUUCGCCAGAGCCGCCUAGGCGGCGGAAGGCACGCCUCAGGGCUUUUUUUUUUUUAAACUCCCAUACACAAAUUUUGGGUAGGGUUUUAACUGCCUCAUACCUCUUCCUUGCACUAUUGUCUCUCUGCCUUUUUUCUGAUUUUUAUUUUUAAUAUAAUGGAUGUGUGUGUUGUCUGCGUGCAUUGUUAUGUGUGCUCAUUGUGCUUUUCAUCCUCAAUUUUAUAUACAUAUAUAUAUAUAUAUAAUAUAAUAUAAUAUAUGUCUAUAUAUGUGUAUAUAUAUUUAUAAUAUAUGUAUGUGCUCAGGAUGAUUAUUGGUUAAUAAUCUUUUUUUUAAUAUAAUAUAUAUGUACGCUCAGUGUAUAUAUUAAAAAAUUUAGGUCCUGUGAGGCUUCGCCUCAUGCCUCACGCCUAGGCCAGGCUAUCCCUUGGACGCCUCGCCCAUGCCUCACGCUUUUAAUACACUGGUAAAAACUCUAAAAAUUGAAGAAUCCCACGUAUUCCUGAUUAGUUAUCUUUGAAAUUUUCUUUUAAAUAACCAAUUGUAAAUUCACCUUUUCAAAUUAAAAAAAAAAUACAAAAAUCCAAUUGGCACACAUGUGGGCAUGUGCCACGGGGUUAGGACAGCACUUAAAGAAAGAAACAAAAAAUCAAUGCAUUACCUGUAAACGACCGUCAUCCCCAGCACAGGAAAUGAAAAUAUCUUCCAAGCAUCCCAUCAGCAUAGACAGUAGGUUCAUUUCUUUAACAAGACGAGGUGUUAAAGUUGGCACCGUGAAGAUUUGUACAGAGAAUACAGAGAGCAGUGGAUACUUUUUCGAAGAAUGGUCACUUAAUCCCUUUAUGGCUUCACUUACAACGGCUGGGUAAUAACUCAGAAAUACUUUGGCAAACUCAAAUUUGAAAACUGGUUCUCCCAGCAGUUUCAGUAGCAACUCAUGCAGCCUUUUCGUAACAGUGUCAUUCAAAAACCUCUCUGCUCUCACAAGAAUCCCCAAUAGAUCCCCUGAUGCUAAAACCGUCUUGGAUACAGAACUUAGCAGACUCUCACUGUACUUACAGAAUUCUAGAAGCAUCUCAACCACGACAAAAGUUAACUCAUUUGCAACCUUUCUAUGCCCUCCAACUUGGUCACUUGCUCUAACAUUUUCCCGCCAGAUAGUUUCACCAAGAACCAGCUUGGUUUUCCAUAUAUCAAACAGGCAAUCAAGAACAGGCCCUACGAUGUUUGCAAUCUCCUUCGGGAGAGGUUGUAUCUGUUCCACACCUUUAUGCUUUGAACAAAAGCCUUCGCGCUUCCAUGCUGUAACAUCACCACAAUCACAACAACCACCACCAGUAUAAAUAACUGAAUAAUCAUGAUCCUUGUGGUUCCCAUUCUGAAAACACGGAACACAAAUUGCACAGGUUGGAUCAUUUUCACAAGUUCGGCAUCUGUAUGCAAUAUCGUUCUGUCCCCAAACAGCUCCGCAAAAACCACGCUGCCCAACACUCAUUUUGGAGAGACUCCUCAGGGCUGCCUCAGGUUCGCCCUCAAACAUCAACCACUGCAACCACGACAUGUUUUCACGGAAUCUAUUUUUCCUGCUUGCACCUUGUUUCUUAGCCCCUGGUUUAGCUUCAUUUAAAACUUCUGCCACUUCCUCAUCAGCAGGUAGAACAGCGGAAACCAGUUCCGGUAUCCGGUGCUUGUUUUUCUUAACAUAAGCAAUCAACCCUCGUUGAUAUUCACCAAGAAAUUCGUUUGGCACUCCCAAUUGAGCAAGCCUCUGGCAUGAAUAAAACAAAAACAUAAAUGUGAACCUUUCUUAUGUGUAAAAUUACGAUACAAAAAGACAGCCAAAAAAGCACAUAUACUUUAAAAGGUAGUUUUUUUUUUCCCAGAAAUUUCACUCAAUUACUCUACAAGUUUUAUGGUAUUAGCUCUGGAAAAUGAUCAAUAAUUCAAAAAAAAAUAAUUCAAUAAAAUUACAAAGGAACAAACUUUCAACUACACAUGAACAGUUAAUUGUAUCCCAAAUACCGUAUAAUUCAACAAACUAACUGCUGAAAAAAGACAGAAAAAGAAAAGGAUAAUCAGAAGCAGAAACGUCAUACCCGCACGAUUCGAUCACGAUGCUUGAUGUGGAUGGAUUCAGGAGGCAAAUCGACUUCCAUAGUAUCAGAACUCCAGCACCGAGCAAGCCAAUCCACGCAGCACAAACAACGCGUAAUCCCAGAGCUUUCACUCCCCAGGAUUACUUGACAACCACAAUAAUUUAGAGCAGUAAAGCCUAAUAAUUCUUCCUAAUUCGACAGCCUAAUCGAAUUCCCCAAGCCCUAAUACACCAUCCGAGAGUCGAAUAUAUACAAAUAAUUGUACUCAACCAACUCUCUCUCUCUCUCUCUCUCUCUCCCUUGGCGGCUUAUGCAGAAGGACGCGAAGAAUCUAUCCGGAGAGAGAGACAGAAGAUUUGAGAAUAUAAUGGAGUGUGAUUGAAUAUUUGUGACAGAUUGCGUGUAAAACUAUCAAUUUUGUUCUUCACAGUUAAUUUUUCGAUGUUGUUUGGCUGGAUUUUUAUUAUUUUUUAUUUAUUAUUUUAAUUAUUUAUAUCCUUUGCAGCGGUGGUUGCAGUUUUUUCACAGAUUCAUGUGAUUAGUUUUAAUUUUCACAUAUUUAUAACUUGUGGAUGCAUGGGCUGUGGAGUUGCAAGCCACCCCAACUUGAGGGAACGGAGAGGCCAUGGAGUUGGGUGGAUAACACUAACAGGCCAGCCCAACUUCGUCAUCAGGUUGUGUGGGGCGGAAGAGUAUUCGGAAGAUAAUUUCUGUAGUAGAAAAAAUUAAGAUUUUUUUUUAGCAAACGAUAUUAUUUAUAUUAAUUUUAGGUUUUAAAUCAACCUUAACUUGCUUCAACUUUUUGGUCAAAUAAUGAGUUUUAAAUCAAAAUUUAUUUCUAGGGUAAAUUUAGGUCAGGAUUCUUCUUAGCUUGGUGGCGGCAAACCCACCAUAUAUGUGUUUUUUUUUUUUUGUAUUUAUAAAUUCAUUGAAUCCAACUGUUAAGAUUUAAUAUAAUCAAAUCCAAUAGUUAAAAAAAUUUAACGAUCCAACUUUAUAUCUAAUGGCUAGAAUAAUUAUAAAAAAAAAAUUCAUUCAUGUGUUUCAUAUUCUUUAUAGUAUUUUGCGAGUUUUAUAGUAUCGGUUCAGUGAUUUUUCAAUAUUUAUAAGAAUCUAAAUAUUUUAAGGUUAAAAUUUUCACAAAAUUAAAUGAAAUAUUCUACAUAAAUUUUAUUUUAAAAAAGUUACUUUAAGAAAAAAGUAUCCUAAGGGUUGGUUUGGUAUUGCUGUGCUUUUUAAAAAAAAACUGUUUCUGUUGUGCUGUGAAAAUUAACAGUUGUAAAAAAAAAGCAGUAGAGUGUUUGGUAACUUUUUUUUUUGUAAAAGUGUUUUUAACAAAAAAAAUAUUGUUUAAGUGUUUGAUAAACUUUUAUAUAAAACUGAUGUGACGAUGUUAAAUGACAAAAAAUGGUAUGAUGUUAGAUGUUAUACUUUUUUAUUCAUAAUGUAACUCUUUCUAGAAGCAUCCAAUUUUCUCUCUACCCCCUUUGCCCCUUUCCACAUCUUCCAGACCCUUCUCCACACCUCCAACCAUCCCCCACCGUAGCACCCUUGAGACCAAGAUGAUCUCCCCAAAUUUGAUAAUUUAUUUUCUAAAUUUGGCGGGGCUUGAUUAUGUAAUUGCAGCAAAAGCAUAUGCAGAUUUGGUGAUAAUAAGGUUUGGAGUGUGAGGGUUCAGCGACUCAGAGUUGACGAAGCUUAAAAAUUCGAGAAGGUGUGGGGGUUCAGCGACACCAAGGGUUAUGGCUUCAUCACCCCCUAAGACGGAAGCGAGUAUUCACCAGUUAUCGGUUAGAACCGACAGCUUCCACAUCGUUGCUUAAGGCGAGUCCAUAGCAGUAGUUUUGAAUUUGGCAAUGGUUGUGGAUUCAAGAGAAAAUACAGGACGUGGGCUGCGACUAUGGUGGGUUGCGUUCUUGAAAGGUGAAAAUUAUUGACCAGUGGGCUCGGAAAAGUGGUCAUGGUGUUAGUAGGGGUAGGUGUGGUGGGUGGGGUGGUCGGGGCUGGUGGGUGGGUGAGUGGUGUUUAGCAUAGAGAAAUGGAGGACAUUAUAGAGAUGGAGGACAAAGAUGCCUUUUGGUAAAAAAAAACGGUGGGGGUAUUAUUGGCCUUUAGAAAAUUUCAUUAAAACUUCACUGUAGCUCUGCAUGCUUCAUUUUGAAGCAGUUUUCUGUGGUUUUUGAAAGUAGGGUCAGAGCAGCUUCUUGAUUUCUACUUUUUAUCACCGCGCUUCAAGAAAAAGCUGCUUUAUUUUUCAGUUACCAAACGCUUGAAGGAUCCAAAUUUUUAAAAAAGCUACUUUUUAAUUAAGCACCGCAAUGCCAAACUGGGGCUAAAUUCAUUCUUUAGUAAAUUCGGGCUAAGAAUUUAACCCAGAAGAGUUUUUAUUUUUUAUUUUUAAGGGGAACAACUGGUGACAAGUCACGGUUAUCCAACCCUUCUAGAAGCGGUUUGAGCAAAAAAAAACUGUUUCUGGUUAAAACUUAAAUUUUUUAGGUCAAAAAAUUUAAGUUUUAAUGCAAUGGUUGGAGAUGGUCUAAAAAAUAAAGGGAAUACUUUGGAUGCGGUCCCUAAUCCUUGACAUUCUUUGACUAAAACCUUAAUGGUAUUCAAAGUUUGAUCAAAGUUCAUUGACUUUGUACACCUCAUUAUAUUACAAUUAAUAUUUAUAUUUUUAUAGUUUUGACAUUAAUUGUUUGAUAUUUUAUGAGAUUUAUAAUCCUAUAAAUUUAAAAUCCGUCAUUACAAUACUAUUAGAAAAGGUUACAAUAAAAAAAUUCAAAAUUUUCGAUUGAAUAAAUGGAUAAAAACUAUGUAAAAACAAGAAAUAAUAAAUAGCAAAAGAAUGUAUCCAUAGUGUUAAAAAAAAUUGGUACGUUUUACAAAAAAAUUGGUACAUUUCACAUAUAACAAAGUGGUACAUUAAUAAAGAAGAAUGGGUACAUUAUAAAUAAAUUAGGGUGCAUAUAAAAGAUUAAAAAAUUAUGAGUACAAAUGAAUUUUUAAAAAAUAUAGGCGCUAAAAAAAAUUAAUACAUGGGUACAAAAUAAAACUAAAAAUAAAAUACUACAAAUUUAAAAAAAUAUUUCAAAUUAAAAGUGGGUACAAACUAAAAAUAUAAAUACAUGAUACAAAG